Molecule: long non-coding RNA, 55022 nt
Filed under: Lactuca sativa (garden lettuce)
Lineage: Eukaryota; Viridiplantae; Streptophyta; Magnoliopsida; Asterales; Asteraceae
Description: long non-coding RNA (LSAT_LNC000191)
Source: RNAcentral
CUUGUGCAAGGUAUAAAUCUUGAUCUUGAUCUUUAGAAGCUUAGAUCUCCAUGUUUUAGCUUUUGGACCCUUUUUGGUCCCAUAAAUAAGCUCUUGUGGAUUGUUUUCGUUUCUGAAGCUUAGAGUUGCUAGUCUUGGUGUUCUUUGGGUCCUAGAGGCAUAAAGUUGCCACCUUUGAAGCUUUAAUCCAACCAUGUUUGAGUAAUUGCCAUUUUUGUGGAAGUAGAAUGUUAUAUUUCAAGUUUGGGCUCAUUUGGGGCAUGCAAAGCCACCAAUUUGAUGACUUUAUGGGUUAAGACGUUGCAAAUGACUCAGAUUUGUGAUUGUAACUCUUGGACUUAAGUGGUUAAGAGAUUUUUGGAGAAAUGGCUUAUUGGGUGAGUAUGUUGGGCGUAUAAUUGGGGUGGAAAAUCGGACCAUCGUGUCGUGUUUUUGUCCGACACGACAUGACACGACAAAAUUUUAUGUAACACAAACACGACACGACACGAUCUCGUAUUUUUUUUAACUAACACGAAAACGAACCGGUUAAAAAACGACAAACAUGACACGACACGACAAAGAUAACAUGAAAUAACAAUUAAUGUAUUUAAUUAAUGUGUAUUUAUACAUAACACGACAAACACAAAAAACACGACAAAAAAUGUUAAAUCGUGUCAAUUUCAUGUCAAAUUUUGAACACGAACACAACACGACACGACUUCGUGUUUUUUACACUUGACACGAACACGAAUUCGAAUUUCAAUUUCGUCUCAAUUUCGUUUCGUGUCGUGUAUUUUUGUCGUGUCGUGUCAUCAAUCGUCACCCCUAGCGUACAGGCUCGUACAUGCAGCAUACAAGCCAUGCAGCGUGUAUGCUUGGUGUACAGCCGAGUACGCCUCGCGUACUCAGGCAGUUGGGCUUGGCGUUGUUUGGGCAUCGAGUUUGGCCAUUUUCUUGGACCUUGUUGCUUUGGGCCUUUUGGGCCAUCUGGAAUUAAUAUUUUGGAUUAAGGAAUUUUAGUGGGCCUUAGGCCAAGGGCCAUUUGGGGGUUUGAGCCCAAUUUGGAAAAUUGGGCCAUAAGUGGGCCUUUGUGGAUCUUUUGGUUUUGGGCCUUAUUGGUUUAUGGUUUUAGGCCUUAGUUUUGGAUCAAGCUAGGCCAGGGGUAAUAUGGUCAUUUUACCCCAAGUAUGGAUUAUUGAUUAUAGUUUGGAACCUAAGUGUUGAUUAGGUGGUAUUUUGUACUAAUAGCUCGGGGAGUCGUCAUGGUAGCAACUGGGGAUUUAUUUCUGUGAGAUUCAACAUUUGAGGUGAGUUUCCUCAAUGGGUUUAGCGGGUCUAAGGCACCAAUGCUGACCCUUAUUAAUUAUGUUAGGAUGCUAAGAGUUUGUGUGACCCUUGCAUGCGUUAUGUGUUGUUGUAUGUAUACCGGGCGAGGCUCGAUGCUAAGCAUGACAUGAGGAUUGGAACAUAUGCUAGUGUUAUGAUCAUUAUAUGUGUUAGCAUGAUUAUGUAAUAUUGAUUGUAUGUGUAUAAAGGGCGAGACCCAGUGACAUGCGAGGCAUGAGAAUAACAUAUUUGUAUACCGAGCGGGGCCCGAUGCCGGGCGGGGGCCCAAUGCAUGAUUUAUUAUGUAUGGUAUGGGGUAGUUUGGGGAACUCACUAAGCUUUGUGCUUACAGUUUUCAAAUUAUGUUUAGGGUACUUCCAGUGGCAAUGAGAAGAACUCGGGGUGACUGCAUUGCACAUACCAUAUGGAUUCUGUUUAUUGGGCACGCUCUAAUUUUUCCUGAUAUCUGACAUACUUAUUUUAUUUGGGUUGUAUGAACUAUGAUUGGAAAUACUGUUUUCACUUGAAUGAAAAAUGAAAAUUUUAGGUCGUAUUUUUGGGUUGUUACAUUGUUUGUUUUUUUGUCGGUCUUGAAUAUCAACGACUCUAUGUAAGUAAUCUGUUGUCCCUGGUUGAAGUUGAAUGUGUCCAGGUUCCGUAGGCGAAUAGUCUACAAUGUUUCGUCAUUUAUUUUCAAUCACCAUGUUAUGCAGAAUGAUACAUGCAUACAUAAUAUCUCGUAGAGUGUCCAACUCGUAUGGUCGUUCCGCAUGUUCAACUAUGUGACAUUUUGCUUUCAGAACUCUGAAAGUACGUUCCACGUCCUUACGUGCUCCUUAUUGUCUUCUCUUGAAAAAUUUGUUUAUCGGUUAUAUCUGGUGUCGAAACGCCAUCACAAACGUGGAAUAUGGUGGGUAUAUUCCAUCCGUGAGGUAAUACCCGAACUUAUACUCAUCGUCAUUUACUGUGAAAGGAGCAUCUGGUGCCUUUCCUGUCAAAAGGUCCUGAAAUAUUGGUGACUAAUGAAGAACGUUUACGUCGUUGUUAGAACCCGCAACUCCAAAAAAAGCAUGCCAAAUCCAUAAGUCUUGUGACGCAACAACCUCUAAUACUAACGAAGACGAUCCAAGAUGAUCACUUGUGUAUUGACCUUUCUAUGCCACAUGACAAUUUCUCCAUAUCGACUUUGUGCAAUCAAUGCUUCCAAGCAUUCCCGAAAAACUAUGUCGUUCUUCUUGCGCCGCAUAUAGUUAUUGCAUGUCAUUCAAUGAACGUUUGCGCAAGUAUUUGUCACUGAAGGUUUUGAUAACACCUCUCGCCAAUCUAUACAAACUUUCUCAUGCAGUUCACUCUGACAAUCUAUAAUAAUAUAAACAUAUAUUUAAUUUUUAAAACAACUGUAAUUACGGUACUUGCUUUCCAUUGCAUUGACUAUUCGUUGAAACACAUUUUUCCGCAAACGAAACCUUCUUUUAAAAUCGCUAGGUUGGUAGACACAAUUAUCCGCAAAAUAAUCGUGUACUAGACGUCUAUUCCCUUUGAUGCGUGCAAAUUAUACCUACCUAGCUACACCUAAUUUUAUAUUUAUAACCUAACUAACUUAACUAACUAAAUUGCACCUAGGCACUGUACUUAGUCAAAUUAUAGAAUAGUCGGGUAAGUCGGGUGUCGAUCAUAGGGAAGGGUUUUAACUAAUUAAUCUACCUACUAUUAAAUUAACCUAAUUUCUAAUAAAGUGGGGGGGUUUUUUUUAUCUAAUUUUGCAAGUUUAGAUGAACUUAAUUCGUAACACAAAAUUCAAUCAAUUAACAAACACUUAUGUUAGUUCAAAUCCACUUCCCCUCAAUGGUUUAUAAAUUAGUUAUGACAAUUACUGUUGGUUACCAAUUAAGAUAGUAUUAGCAAUUCAGUUCUAAAUUUACUAACAUUGAUUAAUUAAUGUAAAUCUAUGCAUUGUCACACAAUAGUUAACUUAAAAUCAAUUAUUAAAUGAAAUUGGAGCCAUGUAAGAUUGAUUUGAAAAACACACUUAUGGUCAUAAUAUGAGUUCUCUAGCACAUCCUAAUUCAAUAGUUCAAUUAUUUUUCUAAGAUUUGUUUGAUCUUAGCUCUAAUAAACUAGUGUUCACUGAAUUAUUAAGUAUUCAAAUUCAUGCAUAUUCAUAUUCACUAACUACACAUAAUAAGAAUUUAAAGCAAUCAAAUAUUAAAUCAAACAUGCUAGGUUCAAUCAAUCAAACACAAGUCAUAACCAAAAAGUAAAUCAAAACUAAAGUAUUGAAACCAUGAGUUCCAGCUUCAUCUAGCUAACAGAAGCAGCUAGAUUUAGCUGGACAUACUAGCAAACAAACAUAAACAAAUCAUAUUCAAAGACAUAUUUAAAUGUACCAAACUAUUAAGCUAAUAAUGAACUUCUCCUUCUUCCUUGGUGUUGAAAGCCAAUUCCAAACGUUUUCUCCCUCUGGAUUUUGUCUCCAGGAACCCUCCAAGUUGUCCAAAAGUCCCUCAAAGUCGUAAUGAUCAAGAGAAUAUAUAGUUAUCAUAAAAUUCACUCUCACGUCGUGAAUGAGUAUGACUCACGACGUGAAUGCAGUAGAUAUCUGUGUUCUACAAGGAUUCCUCCUCCGCGAUGCUUAUCUUCUGGAAUAGUUCCAUUCACGUCGUGAAUAGUUAUGACUCACGACGUGAAGUUAGCAGAUUACAGGGAUUUCCUCUUCUUUCAUUCUCCAAGCCUCCAAAGUUCCAUGCUUUGUCAAUUUCAGUCAUUUUCUCCCAAAAUACUUCAAUUUGGCUGCAAAGUACAAUUAAAGCUUAUAAGCAUCAUUAUUUAAUGCAAAUAACCAAAAUAUUAAUAAAAAUGUAAGUAAAUAUUGCCCAAAAACAUGUAUAAAUAUGGCAGUAUCACCCUUCUUCACGAUCUCUGUUCAACGCCGCACGUCUGGUCAGUAGUGGAGCUGGCUUUGGCGGUAACAUGUAUGUAACAUAUCGAUACAUCAUACCCACGAACAUAUCAUUCUCGUCGAUAUCAUGAUUAUAUGGAUGAAACGGGUCAAAAGGUUCCAUUUUUUUUUUGUAAAUAGAAAUAUAGAAAAUAUAUUAAACUUGAUAGAAAUGUGUAUUAGAGAGAAUUAGAUAAAUUUUCUAUGUAAAGAUAAGUUAGAAUGUGUGUGUGUGUGUAUAUAUAUAUAUAUAUAUUAAAGUAAUUUUUUUUAUUAUUCGUGACCGUUCCACAUCGGUCAGAAAGUAGACCGUUUAUCCCGUUUCGUCCCGUUAUCACCCACACACCGAAUAUCGUAACGCCAAAAAAACGUGUACCUGGAGGCGGUGUUUGCACCGUUAUACCAACAUUUUUUGAUGUACACGUCGGAUUAACGGGCACUUCGGUUGCCCAUUCCGAGUAGUCUAAAUGUCAAAAUGCAAUGAAGAAAAAGAUUCAUUACAAAUGUCAAUUAUAAGUAUGUAGAAGGAUAAAAUAUAAAAAAGUUAUUAUCUUUUGGGAUAUACACAGUAAAGUCCCAAUAUUUUCAUCGAUUUGACAAGAAAAUCCUGAACUUUAUUUUUUUGACAGUAAAGUCCAAAUUACCGGCAGUUUUUGACACUUUUACAUUUUUUUCCCGAUUAGCCGGUAAUUAGGACUUUUUUGUCAACAAAAUAAAGUUUAGGACUUUCUUGUCAAAUCGUCAAUUAGGACUUUACUGUUAAAAAAAAAAAUAAAGUUUAGGACUUUUUUUGUCAAAUCGUUGAAAAAAUUGAGACUUUAGUGUAUAUAUAAUUUUUUUGGUUAGAAACUUAAUGAUAUGAUACUCUUUACGCAUAAGAGUUAUUGAAACAUUCUCUAAUCAGCUAGAUCAUAUUGAAAUCCUUUACGUUUGCUUCUUGUUAAAUCGUUAUUUUAAUCUCAACAAACUGACAUUGAAAAAAAUUGAGAUAAUCAAGAAAGAAAGAAAGAACCAGGGUUGUGUUGGCUUUUUGCAGUCUCAAAAAUGGAGAAAUUAGAAACCUACAAAAACGAAAAUGCCCUGACUUUUUACAAAUACAAACAACACGUGCCUAGUCAAAAUGGUGUGAAUGUGGAGAAGGGAAAGAAGGACAAUUUCGUUUUUUUCGGUUUCUUAUUUCUCCAUUUUUGGGGUUGCAAAAAGCCAACACAACCCUGGUUCUUUCUUUCUUUCUUGAUUAUCUCAAUUUUUUUCAAUGUCAGUUUGUUGAGAUUAAAAAAACGAUUUAACAAGAAGCAAACAUUAAUGAUUUCAAUAGAAUCUAGCAUAUUAGAGAAUGUUUCAAUAACUCUUAUGCUUAAAGAGUAUCAUACCAUUAAAUUUCUAACCAAAAAAAUUAUAUAUACACUAAAGUCCCAAUAUUUUCAACGAUUUGACAAAAAAAGUCAUAAACUUUAUUUUUUUUGACAGUAAAAUCCUAAUUGACGAUUUGACAAGAAAGUCCUAAACAUUAUUUUUUUUGACAAAAAAGUCAUAAUUACCGGUUAACCAGAAAAAAAUGGUAAAAAUGUCAAAAACUGUUGGUAAUUUGGACUUUACUGUCAAAAAAAUAAAAUUUAAAACUUUUUAUCAAAUCGAUGAAAAUAUUAGGACUUUAUGGUAUAUAUCCCUUAUAACUAAAUAGCAACUAUAAUGUGUGGAGUUUGGUAAAUUCCGCUUGGGUUUGGUCUCUACAACCCAUUCAACCCCAAGGCUAUUCUAGUAAUUUCCCCACUAGAAGGAGCUAGGUUCCGCUGCCUUUUAAGUCUAGGUUUUCACUAUCAUCACUCUCACUCAUCGUUUUGUGGUUUCCUGUGGAGAAGAGCAGCAGAUACUCAACAACUUGCAGGCUCUAUUUUCUCAUCGCCAUCAGGUAUCUGUAGGUGUCCUAAAAUCUACGGUUAGGGUUUUGUUAGCACAGUAAUUCAUGGAAAAUGUUGAAAUCUCACUUGUUACCGUCGAUUCAAUCUUUAUUUUUUAGGAAAAAACAUCGGUUCACCAUAUCGUUAUAAUUGUUAUGAUGAUUUUGGUAUCAUCGAUGAAGUUUUAUGUGUUAUGUUUUCGUUGUAAGCUGGAUGUUUCAGGAUGUUUGAUGAUGUGUGCGAGAAUUUCAUUUUAGGGUUUAUGGUGUAUGUUUGCUUUCUUAAAUAGCGUCUACAUGUUAGCUAAUAUAAAUAGUUACCUUGAUGUUUAUAUAUUGGUUGCCACUCGGCUUCUUCAUCUUUGAAAACAAUGCGAUUAGACCCCCCUUAGGUUUGGAUCUAUGCUUAGAUGUGGAUUGUGUAAUUUUUCUCGUGAAAACUAUUGGAUAAACUUGCUUCGUUUUUUGCACCAUGGAAAGCUUAUUUAUGAUUUAAGCCUGGUUCCAACUUUGUUUGUGGGGUUAAUUUGCUACUUUUAAUGUCUAUAUGUAAAGUAUCAGUUGCUCUCUUUUAGGGUUUAUGUUUAGGUGUCUUAUUACCUCGACAACAAGCAAUGGUGAUGGGAUUAGAUCAUAUGUGAAGUUCUUUUGGGGUGCAUGGAUUAUUGCAUGUGAUGCCCUAUAAUAGUUUUAAUAUAUCAAUGGCUGUAAAUUAUCUGUCCAUAUUAUGCUAUGGUUAUCUGUCUAUUAAACUGUUUUCUUUUUGAACAUGUAAUGUGCAGAAAGAGUGCUUUGAGGAAUGCUGGAUUGAUUGGUCCCAAAUACAAAGAAGAUGAGCAAGAAGAACCCAUUUGUAUACUUGGAUGUGUCUAUAGAUGGAGAUCCUGUUGAAAGGAUGGUUUUUGAGGUCUUUAUUAUAGCUUUAACCUUCUAAGAUCUUUCUUUUAUUCUUUUUUCUGCCAGAUGGCAUUGCCACAUCACUUAUUAUCAAGCUGAAAAACUAAUUCCUUUUAUAUGGUGUUACAGCUAUUCUCAGACACUGUUCCCAAGACUGCUGAGAACUUCCGGGCACUUUGUACUGGUAAAAUGUUCAUCAUAAUUGGUAUUCUUUUUGUCAUAAGUUUAUAAAACUGGAUGCUUUUUUAAAUUUCAGGAGAAAAAGGGAAUAGUCAGAAAACCGGGAAACCCCUACACUACAAAGGAUCCUUCUUUCAUCGCAUAAUCAAAGGAUCCAUGGCUCAGGUAUGUUUUCUAUCAAUUACUUUCAUAAAUUAUAUUGUUUUUUUUUUUUUGUUUUGUUAUUUUAUUUUCCACUUAGUUUCUUCUAGUUCUGGAUGUCUUGGUGGUGGUCUGUCUUUUUAGUCGGCUAUCCUUGUUUAAUCUGUAGGAUACAGGGUUGAUGGUUCCAACUGCUUUUCUUGUGAUGUAGUUUUUAAGGUUGUAAUUAUUUGGUUGUAUUUGUAAUAUCAUCACAUUCAUUCUGAAACAUAUCAUACAAAAUUUACAAAUCCAUCUUUCUGCAAUGAUUUCUGAAUAUAAUUUCUAUAAGUGAAUUAAUUCUUUGUAUUUUUUUUUUGCAGGGUGGGGAUUUUUAUAAACGUGAUGGUAUGUACAUUUUGCCACCAAUUUUUUUUAAUUUUUGUAUACAAAAUCCAUAUCUCAUUGGUUUACUUUUGCAGGAAGUUAUGGAGAAAGCAUAUAUGGAGGGAAGUUUCCAGGUGAGAAAAGUCACUAUGUUCAUUACUUGUGUUUUCUGUUUGAAUGUUGAUGAUCAUAAAUACAUAAUAUGUCUUUAGGUAGUUGAGGAUUUCAUUUAAUUUGUUUAAAAAGUGUAUGCAAAAGAAAUUGAAAUAAACCUUUUAGCUUCUAUCUCCCCAAAAUUUCUAUAUAUGUUUAUAUUUUGAGAGAAUGGGUUUCCUUUUUGAAUUGCCUGUGAAGGUGGGGGCUGACAUUGGUCUUAUUCUCGGUGCAUGGGAGCUCAACCCACAAUGAAAUGGGCAAAUUGUAAUUGUCUUGAAAAAUGGUGGGUGUAUGAAUAUUUUGUGUGCCUUUCUUUCUAGGUUUGAAAUCUUUGGUAAAAUACAAAGUAUUUGGUUUGGAUGAUUUAUGCAGCUAGUUAAGUCUAAUGUAUAAUGUAUGCUUUAUAUUUAUGCCCAAUACAUUGUCAUGAGUUUUUUUAUCUGGCUUUUUUUCCAUGUUAAGUUCCUGGCUACCUUAUUAUUAUUAUUUUGAAUUGGUUAUAAUCAAAAUUUGUUACAUUUCAGAUGAAUCCUCCAAACUGAAACAUGAUGCUCCUGGCCUUCUAACAAUGGCAAUUGCUGAUCGUGAUUCACGUGGCUCUUUAUUUAAUGUGACAUUUGGCGCUAAUCGCCACCUGGAUAGGUUUGCUCAUCUUUGUUGUUACAAUUUUAUGUUGGACAAAUUGAUAGAAAUAGCUACAUACCUUACUUUUGUUAUGGUUACAUAUUGCUAUUAUUGAUAAAAAAAAAGUGUUAAGUAUGUUGCUAUUACGGGUAAAAAAAUAAAUACACUGCAUGUAUUGGUAUUUCCUACAUGUUAUCUUUUUAUAUUUAUCUGAAAAGUUAGAGUUUUAGCAACAUUAACUGUCUAACUUUUGAUGGAAAAGGAAAUUUAAGUGUUGGAAAUGGAAUUUCUUGAACAGGAAGUAUGUUAUUUUUGGAAAGCUUGUUCAAGGACUUGAUGUAUUGAAGAAGAUAGAAAAUGUGGGUGAUGAAGAUGGAAUGCCAACUGUGACAGUGAAGAUCAUUUAUUGUGGGGAAGUAAACGAGAGUGAGAAUCAAAGCUCUGGUAUGGUGGAUAAUUAUUGCAUUUUUAAUGACAUAAUUGUUUGUUUAUUUUUUUAAAAUAAAGUCUCUGUUUUUGAUGUUUUUAUAGAUAAGAAGGCAGCCAGCAAGUUGAAAAGUGGGAAAGAUGUUUCUUCAGAGGUUCACAGCCAUGAAGUGAAGCGGAAGGGAAAGCACAAGAAAUCUUCAAAAGAUAAAAGGAAGAAAAGAAAAAGAUAUUCUUCAUCUGAUUCAGACAGUUCAUCUGACAUGGAAUCUGACUCAUCUGAUUCGGAUAGUGAUUCCGACUCUGAUGAUUCAUCCUCGUCAUCAUCUGAUGUCAGCUCUUCAAGUGAUGACAGGCGUAAGAGAAAAAAGAGAUCCAGAAAGGAUCGACACAAACGUGGAAAAAGAAAGGACAAAAAACGCGAGAAGAAGCGUAGGAGACGCGAUAAGAAAUCCAAACGUAAAUCAAAGAGGUUGGUAUGGUAUUUUAAUUUUAGUUAAACCUUAAAUAAAGUAAUGUUUUAUUCUUUAUAAAAGUUAUUAUAUAUCAUUUUGUAGGGUGUCUGGUAGCGGAAGUGAGAGUUCAAGUGAAAGCGAACAUGCGUCUGAGGACAAUAAUGGUGAUGUCAAAAAGCGAAACCGGAAACAUAAUAAUAGUAAUAAUAAAUCUCCUACAGCUGAAUUUGAAGAUGGUAAAACAGGAGAUGCAUUUGCAUUUGAUGGACAUGUAAAGGAGGAAGAAGGUGAAUACCCGAAAGAAAAUGGUGGGGACCGCCCAAGCAAUGGUGUUGACCUGGCGAAGGCUGAUAUAGUCGAUGACCAUCUCGGAAACUCUAGGUUCAAUCAAAUUUAAUAAAACUUUAUUAUUAUUAUUAUUAUUAAAUUCUUUCUAAUCUUAUUUUUUUUUUACUAAACAGAAGUAGAAGCAAAAGUCCUCCUCGAAGGGAAUUGAGCAAGAGUAUGAGUAUUAGCCCAAGGAGGAGUCAAAGUGUUAGUGGGACCCCUCCUAGACGGGCCCCAUCACGUAGCCCGGUCAGAAGCGAAAGCAGCAGCAAGAGUCCGGUUAGAAGCAUAAGCAGAAGUCCAGUGAGGGGCAAAAACGUCAGAAGCAUAACUCCCUCACCAUCACCUCCACGAAGGAGUGUUUCUAGAAGCCCACUGCGAACAUCGUCUAGAAAAUCCUCACGAAAAUCAGUAAGCAGAAGUCCGGUUAGAUCUUCCAGAAGAAGCUACAGCAGAAGCCCAGUCAGAUCAUCUAAAAGAAGCUUGAGCAGAAGCUCUGGUAGACCGCCUUUAAGAAGAAGCCCUAGCAGGAGUCCGGUCAGACCGCCUAUGAGGGGUGGUCGCCGGAGCUAUUCCAGGAGUCCGGUAGGUGGGCGUAGGGCGGCUAGGUCACCGGAGAGAAGCUUGUCUAGAAGCGCUUCACCUGAUGGCUCUCCCAAACGUAUCAGAAGAGGACGCGGUUUCAGUAACCGAUUUUCUUACGCACGCCGAUACCAUUCUCCCGAUCGCUCCCCGGUCAGAUCUUAUCGCUAUAGAAGUGACCGCGACCGUGACCGUGACCGGUAACAAACUAACAGCUAGCAAUUUUAAAUUAAGUUUUUUAAUAUAUUUAAUAUAAAAACAAUUAAACCAAUAUUUUGGUUUGUAGUUAUUCAAGCUAUAGAAGGCGCAGCCCACUGAGAGACAGAAGUCCACCAAGGUAUUUUGGAGUAAUAAUGGAAUCUUUUUUUUUGGUGAGAAAGUGAUUAUUUGAUUGUUAAAUUCAAUUAUUUACACAGGUACAGAGGGAGAAGAAGCAGGACACGGAGUCCGAGUGUGUCCCGGAGUCCUGUCCCUGUGCGGUACCGCCGGCGCUACAGUCGGAGCCGGUCGCCGGUGGAGACAUCAAGGUACAGGCCAUCACCGCCAGUGGAGAGGAGGAGGGCGCCACGCAGCAGGACCCCGCAUUCUCAAAGUAGGAGCCCGUAUGAACGUAGGUCCUCUCCAUCACCAUCUCCGAGAAGGAGCGUGAAGUCAAAGUCAAAGUCAAAAUCGCCAUCGAGAUCAAGGUCAAUGUCGAGGUCAAGAUCUAGGUCGUCUUCUGGAAGCCCACCUGGGAAGAAAGGACUGGUGUCGUAUGGAGAUGGUUCUCCAGACAGUCAGAAGUGAGAAGAGAAGAGAAAGAUCUUACUUUUGAGGGUGAAAUGAUUUAUAGACUUGGUAAUUGGUACACUAUGUAGGGUGGGUGUGUUUUGAAUAAUUUGACUAUUUCUCUUGUAUUUCUUUCUUCUUCUGUGGAGUGACUGUUGAGGUGCUGCUAGACUAGUAACGAUGAUUGGAUAUGUGUUUGUUUUUAAGAGGUUGGUUAGACUGAGGGGAAUGGGACCGAGUAUCAAUUAUGUUAUGUUUUAAAAAGCCUCUUCUGUUUUUAUCUUUAUUGUUAUGGUUUGCUCUUUGAUCAGUGCGACUUGAAGGUAGUUUGUGCAUUUAUAUAUGUAUUAACAUAAUCUUGUGUGCUUGAAUUGAUACAUUAUAUUAUAAUCUUUUCAAAGAAUAAGCUAACAAGUUAAAAGGAGGGUCAUCAAGAUGUAUUGAAUUAUUAAGUAGAUUGAGAGAAGAUUAUUUACCAUCUCUUUAAGACCGGUAAUAAUUGCGACAUAUGUAUUGUAUUUAGUUAUUUAUUAUUUAUUAACCGAUAAAAUUGGAAUAAGUUACCUAAAAUUUAGGGGAAAAUAUGAUUAAUUACGUAAGUUCAGGGGGUAUUUUGGUUUACGGCAACAGCAGGCGACGUGUAGAAGAAGAAUCUCGGGAACCCUAGCAGAGGUUUGUUUCUCAAUCCUACGCCGCUACGACCAUUGCCGCUUUCUCCACUCCACGAUGAUAACAAAGAAACAUCCGUCGCCGUUUCUCAAUCCAACGGUAAUAUGAUUUACUUGUUCGUUAUUAUUUGAAUCUAUUAAACACAAGAUAUAAGCCGAAGCAUUUUGAUUGAAAUAAGACAGUAACCAAUAAAUACUAAAAGCCAAUCUCUUUUCUGUAGCUUGGUAACAUUUGUAUUACUAAUAAAUGAUGAAUGUAUUAUUGAUUGUACUUGGGUUUUUGAUUGACAGGGUAACAUUAAUGAUAUUGAUCGUAAUGUUCUAUGCAAUGUGUUACACAUCAAACAAUGCUCCAAAGCCUCCCAAUAUAUGGUGAAGUUUACAAAGCAAAGGCAUUGGAAUCAUCAAACAAGUAUGUCUCUACCUUUUAUAAGCUUCUUCAUUUUCAGUAACAUUAUAGGAAUUAGACACUCUUUCUUUGUCACCACUGCAUUUGUGAUGGCAUUGGCAGCUGGUAAGCUUUGGGACACCAUUUCUGAAUGCAUCUCCCAAAUUCAAUCUGAUUGUGAUGAUGAAGCUAAAGAGAGGGCACUUCAAACCCUAGUUUCCAUCACAAAAGCAAGCCCUCCACACAGAAAUUUAGUCAUGCAGAAUCAGGAAGCCAUCCCCGCUCUCCUCUCCCUGCUCAAAUCCUCCUCCCGUGCUCUUGAAAGACUCUCACUUUCCAUCCUCUUCAACCUCUCAUUAAACCCUAAUCUCAAAUCCACCCUUGCUGACAUGGCAACCAUUCAACACCUCAAUACUGUGAUCCUGUCUCGUGGGUCACUCGAGUCUAGCAAACUAGCAGCUUCUUUGAUAUGCAGCCUGGCAAUGCUAGACAAGAAUAAAGCAGUGUUUGGGGUAGCGAAUACUAUUCAAGCAUUGUUGAAGGGAGUUUCAAGGCCUAAUAGUCCUGUGACACAUCACCUUCUCAGCUCACUUGCUGAGUUGGUGCACUUCCAUGGGAAUUGCACAUUGGCUGUUAGAUCAGGUGCAGUUGGUGUUCUCCUGAGAAUAGUUGAGAACAAAGACAGUGAAGAUCUUUGUGGGACUGCUCUUAGUAUUCUUGGGCUUCUUGCUAAGUUUGAUGAAGGGCUAAAAGCUUUGACAAAUACACCUAGUAUUGUGAGUAGAAUGCUUGAUGUGUUGAAAGGUAGGUCCAUGUUGAAUAAUGAAGGUGCAGCCGAGGUACUUCUUCGUGUUUUUGAUGAGAGUGAAGAAUGCUUGAGAGAUGCUAUCGGAUUGCCUGAUUUCAUGUAUACAUUAGCUGAGCUCUCGGUGAGAGGAUCAACGAGAGCUCGGGAGAAAGCUUCUCUACUGUUGAGAAAACUUGAGGCUAAUGAAUCAUAUGUAGAUGAUGAUCUGGUGUUCUUGAAAUGGUAAGGUAGGAUGCGUGUCUUAAGAAAAGUAACAUAAUAAGAGCUUUUGUUUGUUUUGUAGCACAUGAGUGUGCACAUUAUUAGGUCCUCUUUGAAGGUUUAGGUAAUGAAUAGAUGGGUUUGGUGUUAAAAAAGGCAUGGAGUUUAUAGGAUUGAAGCCAUGACUCACAAAACUACGAACUACAUAAAAAAUGAAUUUGAGAGUUACAUAAAGCCAUAAAGUUAAAUUUAUAAAGAAAGCAUAACUAUCUUGCAUCCAAAUACAACAACAACAACAAAUAAACCCAAAUCCCAUAAAGUCUUGUGAGGUAAGUGGGAGGUUUGAUGUAGGUGGUCUUAGUGUCUUGCCUCCACCCGUGGGUAGAGAGGCUACCUCUAUAGGAGACUUUCGCCAUGAUCAAGGAUGCACCAUACAUGAGCAAAUAAAAGCAAUAUACAAUUAAAUAUACUAAUACUAGAAAUAGUACUAAUUGUAAAAAUGAAAUAACAUAAGACGAUAAAUACUUAAAUGCCUAAAUGAUAAUACAAGAAACAAAACUUAUGCUACUACACUAACCUAAUUCUCCGUCUCCACUCCUACCUAUGUGAGGUCUGUAGAAGGUGCCAACUCCUUCGUGUCUAACCUCACACUAUAGUUACGUUGCGUCCUCGGUCGACCUCUCCUCUUCGCCUUACCGUAGAUGUGACGCCUCGAUCCAUUGAGUACCGUCAUCUAUCCUUAGUACACUUUAUUUUAAAUACAACUAAGAUAAUACCUUAGAUUUCAUCUUCAUCAUGGUUUAACAAAAUUACAUAAGCAAAAGUGCAUAAAAGAAAAACUAUUUUAACCGUUUAUAAUUCAUCCAAAAUUUCUGUUAAAACACUAACUACUUGUGGUCCUUCUUCUUUCCUGAGAUACAUACAUGAAUACAUAAGCUUUAAGUUUAGUGAGUAUUUUGGUUUUAAUAUUUAGCAUAAACAUUUGAUGGAAAAAUAACAAUUAAAUGCUUGAAAACAUUAAUUUGAGAUCUUAUAGCUACAUGUAAGUAGGCCCAACUUCUGGGAGGUUUGCUAACCUUGGGAUUCAUAUAAGGCUGUCCCAUAAGGUCCGUUUUUAAGACGUCCCUUCAUCCCAUACCCAAUGCGUUGGGUUACUUGGGUAUUUAAAUGACCGUACUUAACAUGAAUAAAACUUUCAUGCUAACUUCAUAAUAUGUUGUUAAAUGUCUUUGAAAAAUCAUUUGAGCAAGUGAACAUGGCAAAUAAUUUAAAUGCAUUGAACAUAUACGUAGCAUGUAUGUAUCCCAUUAAAUCACAUAAAUAUACUCACCUUUCUUUGAGCUUUUAGGCUUCUUUUUAAUCUUUUAAGUCACCACCAAGCUUGAUAGUGUAUUCUAGGAUGAAAAAAAAUGCUUAACUUCACUUGCUAUGUCUAGUAAAAUUGUGUGCAUUGCUUGCUUGUUCUUUAGGCCUAAAACAUAGUACAUUGUUGAUGAGAUGAUUACACCUAGUGUACUUGUUGUACCUCAUCUCCUUAGAAGCUUACACCUCAAGCCUCUAGCUCUUCUAUGUCAUCUUCCAGCUUAGCUUAAUCUCCUUAGAAGCUUACACCUCAAGCCUCUAGCUCUUCCAUGCCAUCUUCUAGCUUAGCUUAAUCACUCAAAAUCUAGGCAACGCUUAUCUCUACUUGUAUAUGCUAGCUUGGUUACUACUUUUAGCCUUGAUUUGUCAUGCUAAGCUUUGGUUUACUUGUAGCUGGUGUUGUGGUACUUGUAAGCAUAUGGUAAGCUACUUGUGUGCUUGCUUAUUUUCAACUUUUCUUUUUACAUAAAAUUUGCAACAUUCUUCUAUAACAACUAUUCUUAAAGUGUCCCUUAUGUUCUUUUAUAUUACAAGGGUGUUAUGGUAGAUGAUUGCCUCCUCUUGACAUAUCUAAACCACUAAAAUCUUUCUUUCCUCGAAUUUUCGGUGGUUCACGCAACUCCUAACUUAUUUAUGAUUAUAGCAUUCAGUAUUUUCUCCAACAUUGUUGUAAAGCAUAAACACUGAAGGAUCCUCAUUUCAGAAAUUUCCAUCUUCCUCUCAUGCUCUUUUUUUUCCGGCUAACAUUUGAAGCAACUACCACCUUGUAUCUUGCAUCCAAAUGAUGCCAAUGGUUGUUUUAAAACAAUUUUGGCUAAGGGUGUAGACUAGACAAAGCAAAGUAGAAGGAGAAACGAGGUUUAUUGGGUAGGGUUUAACAUGGACUAGGCUUAUAUAGACCACACUUUUAUCAUGUUAGAUAGUAGAUAGUUUUUUAUAAUGAUUUCUUAUGCAUCUUUAGCGUGGUCGUACAAUUAUGAAUAUUUAUAAUAGUUGGAUAAAUUUAUAAAAUAUGAAAGUGUUGUGGCAAAAUCUAGAGAUUUGAAACAUGUGAACCUACAUGUUUUAGACAUGACACUUUAGUGUCUUGUUUAGGGACCUAUUCCGUGUAAAUGCAUGUAAUUAUCACAUGAAGCUUGCAAAUUGAACUUAUUUUACUAAAUAUUAGGUGUAGACUACCAGGAAAGAAAUUUAAAGCCCAAAUUUGCUUGCCUUUUCUUUCAUUUCCUUUAUCGUGAGUUCGUGACCUUUCCCCUUUAUUGUGCCCUCGACAAUCGACAUAGGACAUCGCCGAGUGGUGCGUUUGCUAUCGUAUCUUUCGAUUGCACCUCAACUACACCUAAAACAACAAGAAUUUGUUUAUCGCAUUGAUAUUAAGGUAUCUUUUUCGAAUACUUAACCUUUAGAUCUAGUUUGAUCCCAAAUCGAUUAUUCCAAAAUUUUACUUGUAAUGCUUUAGUUAGGUAAAUUAUUUUGCAACCGGAAAGAAUUGGCUAGGGUUGUUUGGAAUAAAUGUUUGUGUGCUUCCGAUUACGCUAUCAAUAUUUCUUUACAUUUUUGUUAAUAGGAUUAAUGUCAAUGAACUUAACUUGUAUAUGGAAUGUCAUAAUUAUGAUUUCCAUUCCAUGAUAAACAAUGUUAGGGCCUUAUUAAUGAGAUAAUUCUUUAAUUAAGGUAGUUAUUUAAUUACUUAGAAGCAGUGAUGAUAGUUUGUUAAGCUUUGGUGUCAUGGAUGGUGUCACUUAGAUCAUGAGAGAGAUAGAGAGAAGGGAAGGGGGGGGGGGGGAUCUUAUGGGCCAUCAUUUGUACCCAUCUAGUAGAAUGACGAGAGAGUCGAGUUCCAUAGGUCUUGGAUAUUUCUUCCAUUUCAUAGUGGAUGAUAGUGGGUAUCUUACUAUGAUUUCCUUCUUUGUAUCUCCAAAUUAGCAAAGGGUUUAAAGGCAUUUAGCUACAACUCAUUGCCUUAUUGUGGUUGUAAAUAAUAUGUCCAUCUUUUUGCACAUGUUAUGCUUUUUUCGUAAUCUAGUGGGAAAUUGUGUUAGAUCUUUUGAUAUCCUCGUUUAUAUAGAGGGACACGUUUGAGAACAUGAACCAUAAAUUUUGGAUAUAAUGAUAUUAACUAUGUUGAGACAUCUUUUUGGUUUUAAGAUGAAUUUUGGUUUUACUCCCACCAUUAUCCCAUUUUCUUUGGUUUUUCCUCUCAUUUUUGGACCAUUGACUCUAGUCGUAGUCAAAUCUCAUCUUUACCAUUUUAUAUGGACCUUGUUGCUCAAACCUCAUCUUUAAUAUCGCUAUGCGGCGGUGUUUGGGAUUGCUUUUCAAAACAACCUAUUGACUUAUUGGCUUUUUGAAAAGCCAAUAAGUCAAAAAUAAUGUUUGGCAAACUCAAAAGCAUUUUUCAAAAUAACUUUUCCAUUAGCUUCAAAAAGGAGAUUUCAAAAAGCAGGUAAAACUUGGCUUUUUGAAACUCCUUUUAGCUUUUUAAUCAUAAUAGCUUCAAAAAAGAGAUUUUAAGCCUAACAUUUUUUUUAAACUUAUUGCCUUAUUGGAUUUUGCCAUCUCAAAAGCUAAUCCAAACACUUUUUUAAGUCAAUAAGCACUUUUUCCCAACAACACUUUUGGAAUUCAAAAAGCAGUCCCAAACACCCCCUUGUUCCAACCAUGUGUUGUCAAUGCACCAAGAUCUUCAGUUUUGAUCUGAGCCUUGGCCUACAUUAGUGCUGGCUUUGACUAUUAAGUUCUACCUGAGUUGGGUGUCACUAGCAUUUUCUCAAGAGAUUACUUGAUCUUUCAUUAUUCUACCUUGGUGUCUUUUAGCAGAGCAUCAGAGUUUUCUCUAUUGAGUCAAGAAAUUCUAAACCUUUUAUAUUGCUGGUCGCCUAUAGAUGUUUUUUCCAAUCCAUGACUUGUAAACUACGGCGUUCUCUGUUCUUAUAGAUUUGGUCCUUGAAUUUUAUGCAAGAAAUAUUUUAUAAUGCUUAUUUAAAAAAGAAAAAACUAAUGUAAUGCAAUGUUUAGAAGAGGAAGAAUGAGCAUGGUGGGAGAUUGGAUUUGUGGGUCAUGCAAUCACUUAAACUUUUACUGGAGAGAAUCAUGCAGGAGAUGCAAAGAGCCACGAUCCCAAGACAUGAAUGCAGCUGUGAGUGCGGGCCCCAGGGUGUUUGCUUUUAGGCCCGGGGAUUGGUUCUGUGAUGUUGGGAUUUGUCAGGCUCACAACUUUGCAAGCCGAAGAUUCUGUUUCAAAUGUGGUGUAAUUAAAAGCAUACCAUCUUUUGGUCCUACUGUAGGACUAGGAUACUACCCUACCCUUCCCCUUCCCCCUCCCCCUCCUCCUUUCUUGAGUUUCAGUUUCAUGAAUCCCAGAAUCAGCCAACGAGGCUGGAAGCCUGGCGACUGGUUUUGUGGCAGGGGGUUUUUUUUUUAAUUUUUUUUUUUUUUUUUUUUUUUUUAUUUUAAAUAUUUUUUUUUUUUUUAAAUAUANUUUAUCUUUUUUCAUAUUUUUUUUUUUUUUUUUUUUUUUAAUUAAGGUCAUAAUCAUUAUUCAUUAAUACUAGUUGAUUCUCAUUCAUAUAAUCAUAUGAUAUGAUAUAGGCCUGGCUGUAAUGCACACAACUACGCUUCCCGAAUGAUAUGUUUCAAGUGCAAGUCUUCUAGGGAAUUGGUUACCAAUGUUUCUAAUUGAUUCCUUCCUUGCAUUCCGAAUUCUGGUAAAGAUUUUUGUUUUUUUUUUUCUUAUGAAUGUGUGUGUAAUUUAUGUCAUGUUUUUCAGGUCCUAUGGUUAUGCUAUCACCUCUGUUAGGAGAGAGGGAGAGUCAGAGUUGUUGUUUUUUCGUUCAGAUCUUGUUAUAUCUUAUGUGUUUCUUUUUAUUUCUGUUGGUUGCAUUGCAAUGGAGUUUGAAUCUGGUAUGAAGUUUACAUGAAUUAAUGAAGGAUGUAAUUAUAAGUGGUUUCUUCAGUUUGAAUGUGAUGAUUAUGGAUGGAUGGAUGGAGUUAUAAGAUUUUUGUGGCAAUUUGGUUGGAUCAUAUGUGUAGUUGUAAGAAAAGUUCAUUCAACUGGGUUGUUGAGUUUCAUACACAUUCAUUUGCAAAUGGUAAUUUGACAAGGAUUUUUUUUAAUAUAGCUGAUUUUGGAAAUUUUGGUCUUCAAAUGAUUUUUUUGUUUUUUGUUUUUGUUUGUUUGUUUGUUUUUUUUUUUUUUUUUUUUUUUUUUUUUUUUUUUUUUUUUUGUUUGUUUGUUUGUAAUGGUCUAUGUUCCAAAUAAAAUGACUUUUUUUUUUGUUUCCUAAGUUAUACCUGAUUUUUGCAGUUUUAUCACAAAAAUAGUCAUUUUCUUGGUACGAGGACCAAAAUCAUUAAAAAGAGGAUCAAAAUUGCAAAAAAAAAACUCACCUCAAAAUUGCAAAAGAAAACUCACAGACCAAAAUUACAAUUCAAAAUUACAAAAAGAGGACAUACUACCUAAUUCAUUGAUGAUUAAAGUGGGACAUUGUUUAGUCGUAUUCAAUAAUAUAUAGAAGUAGGAUCGGGUGAUGACUUGAAAAAUAGUGAGGAUUGCGAUGACAAAUCUUGGAUGUUUGUUGGUUUAAAUGGGUGGUUGAGAUAAAUCAAAAUUAAUAAAUAAACAAAAAAAAAAUCGUCCAAUGACAUUUUUGUAAAUAAAAUCAAGUUAGGAUCACUUUCCAAUUAAAGGGCAAUGUCUGGGGGUCAUAACUGUCAAAGGAAAUAAUAAAAUUUUGUUGCUGAAAUGAACUCCACGCACAAAAGGUGCGUCGCCAACUCUAUGGAUCUUACUCUUGAACACGUUUCGCCACCAGGUUUACUUGGGUUUAUUUAUUUAUUUUUAUUUUUCAUGGAUCUUACUCUCGUAUGAACUUGUAUAAGUAGUCCCCGGAAAUGUAUUGACCUGAACUUCAUGAAUAUGGCUUCGUAAUCUGGUUUGGAUGGGUUCUAACGGGAAAAAAACAGGUCUUGAACAAGCUGUUGUUUCGAGUUAAAAUCUGAAAAUUUAACCUAGUUGUUUAAUUAUAUGUUUAAGGUGAAUAUCCCUAUUUAAUCUUGAUUGUUAUUCUUAGGAGUUUUGAAAGGUGACCGGGUGCGAAUGGGUUCUGGUUUCAGUUGGAGGUUUACUCUACUACUUGAGGUGAGUUUCUCACUACACUGUGUAAUGUUGUGCAUUCUUUGCUUUAGCUCGUGUGUGUUAUAGUAUGUUUAUACGGGUAACACUAGAUUGGGUUAGUAUCUAGUGGGAGUAUGUUAUUUGUUCAUGUAUUGAAGAAUAUGUAUAGAAGGGAUCGACGUAUCCGAGCAGAGGAUCGGGCAUAGCCAGUGUGUCCCAAGGGGUCGACGAAUUGAGCAAGGGGGAUCGGGCAUGACCAAUGUGUCCCAAUGGGUUCGGGUGAUCGGGCUUAUCCAAUGUGCCCCAAUGGCUCGAUGUAUCGAGCAAAGGGGAUCAGACAUAACUAAUGUGUCCUAGUAGGUGUAUGUUGUUAUUGAUUCGCUCUUUGACAUGCAUACGUGUUUGUGUGGUUGAUAUUGUUGUUAUAUGUGUAUUAAGGGUAGAGCUUGUAUGAUAUAGACAUAUAGUAUUGUGUAUGUGUGAAAUCCCCUAAGCUUUGUGCUAUUCCCUUUUCCCUUAAAAAAAUACCAUUUCAGGAUUAACAUGUACUUAGGAUGGCAGGGUGUGAUAGUACACACCGGCUCAGUACGGAUUGAUGAAGUUUUCAUAUUACCUUGGAUUAUGUUUCUUUGAUUUUGGAAUUUAUAAUUAACAAAUGGUUUUUGAAAUUUAUUGAUCUUGGGAUUAUGGUUUUAAAACUUAUUUUGAAAAAAAGUCAUGGUUUUGAAUAUACUUAUAUUGUUUUUAGAAGUUCAAAUUUAUUGUAAAUUUUAGGAUGUUACACAAUUGUAUUGGAUUGAGUGCGAAAUUUGAAAAUCCAAUUGGAUUACUUGAAGGCAAUGUUACUUUGUUAGUCUUAUUUAGCAUAAUUGUGUGCGGUUUUAUUUUUAGUUAUCGUAGUUAUAUUUGGUUAUUCGAUAGAAAGAGAUUAGAAUUGGUUGGAUAAUGGAUAACUACUGAAUUAAACCAAUAAAAAAAUAUCCAAUAGAUAGAAUCGAUCUAAUCCAACAUCCAAUUGGAUCGAUUUGGUUUGAUUUUUUUAUGAUGAAUUGGAUUGGACCGGUUGACAAAUCCAACAUCUAAUGGAUGAUUAGAUUGGAUUGGUUCCAUCGAAAUCCAUUGGAUUUGAACCGCUGAUCACCCAUAAUUUGGUUAUUAUGUUUUUUUCAAUCAGCUGCUGGAACAUGAUGGUUCUAAAAACAUUUUGCAAAAAGGUAAGAAUCAGCCAUAAAGUCACAUUACCUUUCAUUGUUGAUGGUUGUGGAAUGUGAACUACUUUUUAUUAAAUUAUAAAUUAUCUAAGGAUGAAACUGCAUUUCCUUUCUUCAUAUCACUAUAACACAUUACAUUAUUUUUGUAUGUUUUUAUAACAUCAAAUCUUUGUUGUGAAACAAGGUUUAUUAUUAACAUGAGUUGGUUUGAGCUUUAACAAAAUUUUAAGAUAAUUAACUAUUUCAUACAAAUGAUUGUUCCAUGGAUUAUAUCAUUAUUAUUAUUAUUAUUAUUAUUAUUAUUAUCAUUAUAAAUCUUAUAAUAGAAGUCACUUGUGACAUAUAUCCUUAUUAUUAUCAUUAUCAUCAUUAUAAAUCUUAUAAUAGAAGUCACUUAUGACGCGGUUCAAGAUAACUCCCUAUAUUGAAGUGCAAAUAAUAAAGAUACGAAUGAUGGAUGUUACGUAAUAAGAUUAUAAUUUGAAAUAGUAUGCUAGAAAGUAACAUGACAAACAAAUCCUGAAACCGUAAACAACAAACAUACAAAAGCCAGUUUGGUAUCAAGAACAAGGUUGGACCGAAACCGUAAACAACAAACAUACAAAAGCCAGUUUGGUCCAAAACCCGAAACCCGAUUUAGUACCCGGAACUGGACCGGACCGAACCCCGACCCGCUACACCUAAAAACGGUCCAGUUCUCGGGUAAGGUAAUUCAUGGUUUUCGGUCUUCAGGCUGGUCCGGUUCGGGUUCUGCUCGUUGCUCUAUAUUGAACCAUAUUAAUUUGAAACUACGAAAACUCUUCGGCUUAUAUUUUAAGUUUCUAUUUGGUGUGUUAGCUGAAAAAACUAGUUUUUAACUUAUAAGCUAGUUUAUCCAUAAACUAUCUCGGAUAACUUAGACAAAACUGCAAAAUUGGUCCUUGUGGUAUGCAUUUUUUCUGAGGUUUAAUCCAAACCUCGAUUUUUUUGGAUUGGUGGUCCUUUUUGGUCCCUUGAAAAAUUGAAAAGACUAAAAUGCCCUUCUGAACAGUUUAUAUGUUAUUUUCUAUUUAAUUUAAAAUUAUAUUAAUUAAAAAUAUAGGGCCCACCUCUUUCUUUCUUUCUUUCUUUCUCUCUCUCUCUCUCUCUCUCUCUAUAUAUAUAUAUAGCCAUUUGGGUUUGUCUUUGACAAACAUCUAAUAACAUCUUCAUAAAUUCAAGAACACUCAAGAACAUCUUAUGCCAUCACCACCAUUCGACCACCGUCCUCCACCACCACUGUCUGCCACCUCCAUCUCCACCUGAACUUUUUAUACCACUUUAUAUCCGCCUAAAAUCAUCCCAAAAACAAAAAUCAUACACAAAAUAUGGGUUUGUUCUUGAGUUUCCCCUUAAAAAUAAUCACUAGAUCUGAUGCCUCAUCAAGAGCUCAUGAACACACACACCCACCCACAUUCAAGAACACAUUCAUGAACCCCAUAUCUGAUGAGCACACAAACACAAACACACAUUAUAUCAGAUCUGAUGAAGGGUUUUUGGAUGAACACAUUCAAGAACAAAUUUUUGAACCCUAGAUAUAAGGAACACACGAACAAAAUCAGAUCGAGUUCAUGGGUUCUCGGGUUCUUCAUCCAAAAAACAAAGAUCUAAAACCAAAACGAACAUUUGACCCCUCAGUGGCAGAUUUCUUCGUCCCCAUCUUCCAAAAACCCAUAUUGUAUGUGUGUAUUUUGUGACAUCCCCGAUUUCACGGCCACAAAAGACCGAUUUGAUUAUGAUUAUUUAAAUCAGAAUAUUCUUUUCAAAAGAGUAAUAAUGUGGAAUUUGUUCCAAAAAAUAUGACAAUAUCAUUAUUAAAGCAUUUCCGAGGAAAUGUAUUUCAUUUAUAUUUAAAAACCUUGGGAUGUCAUGGUCAAUACAACAACAUAAGCAUAAAACGUAAUAUUACAGGCCUUACAAUAGUUUAUUAUUCUAUUGGCCUAUUCUCCUUUAAAUCUCACUCCAAAUUUAAACUCAUCACACCUAUGCUCUUACGCUGCUACCUGUGAAACAAAGAAACUGAGUGGGUUAGGCUUCGGAAAGCCUGAUGAGCACAUAGGGUUUUCAACCCACAAUAAUUAAAUUUAUUAAUUUCAUCAAUCAAUCAACUCGGUUAUCCGUUCCCGUUAUCCUCACUUUUUGUCCCUAAAACAUCUAAAUUAAGGGACUUAGCCUAAGGAUUUUUCAUCGGGGUGACAGCACUGCAUAGGGGAUUCCUCAACAAUAUAUGUUAAAAGGCAACCAUAGGGGAAUGGAGUACAUCUGGUGAACAUUUAGUUCAAAAACACCUACAUGUUUCGAGCCUACCACCGUUCCACUAGACUGUCUAGAAUAGUUUGUGGUCGUCAUCUAUACUCCGCUAGAUGACUGGAUCAUCUUAAACACUCUAGGCCUAUCAUUAUUUAUUUUAUCAUCUAUAUCAUCUACCCAUCUUUACCCUUUAUAUUUAUAGGUACAAAAUACAUACAUAGUUUAAAUCGAAUAAAACAUGUAUAUUUUGUUCAUCCAACAUACAUAUCAAGAACACAGAUAAUAUACACACAUAACACGUAAUUUUUAUUAAAUACUUCAUAUUUAUGUAUAAGAUGAAAAUAACUAUGCACUCACUUGACUAGUUAGUGGUUACUAACUAUGUUCUUAAUCGUCGUUAUAUCACACUUUCUUUAUUUAUGACUCCUUGCUCGAAAAUUCUGAACUCUAAUUUCAAAAUUUCUGGCCCUUCUUUAUAUCGAGUAUAUCUUUGGCUAUUAUUGUUUUCUAUCAUAAGAAUUGCUCAAAGGAUACCUCUAUUUAUAUAAAGGAUUUUUGAAUCGCCCGUACAAUAUCAAAAGAUUAGUCACCCAAAAAAAUUACACGUAUAACUUCAAUAAAUUAGAUGUGUACGAACAUACUUGAAAGGUUAACACAUAUUCUUCUGAUAUUGACUCUAAAUUAGAAGGUGUAUUAUUACUUCUCUUUUGUCAACACAUAUCAUUUUAAUUAAUAAAAUAUGUACGACAUGUAUUAUAUUUCUUACAGGUAUGUUGGUUUGCAAUUUACAAAUCAAUUAUAGUUACAUUUAUGGUCCAUAAGUUAUUAUUGUAUUAACACAAUAUAUCAUUCAAGUUACACUGUAGUCCCUCAGCUGCAUGGAGCCCCUAAUAAGAAUAAAGAACAAGUAAGAGACGAUCACCCACUUAUUUGUUUGGAUCGGUCCGAUCCAAUCAAAUUAAGUAAAUUCAACUUAAUUCCGGUUUACAAAACAUUGAUUCAAAUAGUUCAAACUAAAUUCAAAUUCGGUAUGAAUUAAUCAAAUUACAAUUCGAUUUUCAAGAGUCGGAAUGUUUUAAAAUAGUUAUAAUUUGAAUAUUAGCUGACUUUAUAAAAGAAAUAUAAUCAAAUGGUUAGUUGUAAAUUAAAAUUUAUAAACUGUUAAGGAAAAUAUAUUUUGAUUCAUUAGAUAAAAAAAUCUUGAAAAAAAAAUACAUAUUAAGGUUUUUAUUAGGAGAGUGUUUCUAACCUAUUUAAAAAACAAUUCAGUAAAUUAAUAAAUAAUUAAAAGUAUAUAUUAAAAAUUAAAAUAUAUAUAUCUAUUCUAAUAAAUGAAAGUGUUUUUUGUCACAUGUUACACUCUCACUCAAUUUAUCAAAUGUCAUUUUGUGGUUAUUUUGAAUUAAUUUAUUUUUCCAAAUGUCAUGUUAUGUUUUUUUUUUUAUUUUAAUAAAGUUCACAUAAUAUUUAAAUGUAAUAAUUACAAUAAAUUUAGUAAUAAAUAAAUAUAAAUUUCAUUAAUGGAUAAAAAAAUCAAUUUUAAAAGAUAAAAAAAAUCAAUUUUUAUAAUUCAUUAUUUUUUUUUUAUAAAUUCAAAGUUCUUAAAUAUUUAGACAUUUAUAAUUAAUUUUUUUGAUUAACUCAUAUAAUCCAUGAGUCUUAUAGUUUACAAAAUAUUUAUCAAAUAAAGAUAUACUUGCAUGCUGUAAGAUAAUUUUUUUUACUAAUUUACCACCCCGGCCUUUCUAACAAUAAUUUGUAUUAUAUAAAAGACAAUGUUUUCUAAAUAAAUAAAAGAUAUUAGUUUAUUUUAUAUAUAGACAACCACAUAUCAUUUCCAUAUAUAACAUGAUGGUUGUUCAGAUCCGUGAUUAUUUAAUUUAAACUAUUAAAUAUGUAUUUUAUGAGUCGGUGAUUUCUAACACUAUUAAAAAAAGGGACAUUGUAACGAAACUAAAAGGCCGAGUUUCCUGUAAGCAGCUGACUGAAGCCAGACAGUCAAGCCAAGCUGAUUCUCCCCGCUCUCGACCAAAAUCUAUUACUAUUUUCAUCAUCACCGACACCCUCCCCCUCUCUUUUCUUAACAAAUCAAUACAAAUGAUUAAUAUGCAGUAAUCAUCGAAAGUGAGAUCAAGAAUGGGCCCUUUUCUUCUCACGCCAAUGCCCAUCAAACUUCAUUGAUUAUCAAGUUCCUUCAAAUUCAAAUCAAGAACGAAAAAAUCAAUUUCUAUCAUCUGGGGCUCUUCUUUAGUCCCCUGUUUCUACUUUAAUUGGAAUACAUGGAGGCAAAUGCAGGAUUAGUUGCCGGAUCUCAUAAGAGGAACGAGUUGGUGAGAAUAAGACAUGAUUCCGAUGGAGGGGUAUGUGUUCUUUCGAUUUUUCUUGAAUACCCUUUUGGAUUUUGAGUGUUCAGAAAUCAAUUUUAUCGACUCUUGUAUAGAUCUAAGUGAUUUAACAGUAGGCUAUUUUGUUUAACCCAAGUUUGUUUAUUUUGUUUGGAUCUGAGUGAUCAGUGUGACCAGUGAGCUCAGUAAUGAGUGAUGAUACGACUUUUGACUUAUUAAUCCUACCUUUUUGUUAAAUCUUCAAAGAGGGUUUUUUGUUAAAUUUGUGGAUUUAGAUCUGAAUCAUCGAGAUGAAAGUUUCUGUUUUCAGCGCCCAUCUUGAUUAAUUUGACAAAAUUUUCAGCUUUAGCACAUGAUGAUUUCUUAAAUUAUUUAAUUUUGAUUGUGACGUUGAGUGUUGAUGAUGCAGCCGAAGCCUUUAAAGAAUAUGAAUGGACAGAUAUGUCAAAUCUGUGGCGACACCGUCGGCCUGACUGAAAACGGCGACGUUUUUGUUGCUUGCAACGAGUGCGCAUUCCCGGUUUGUAGACCCUGCUACGAGUACGAAAGAAGAGACGGAAAUCAAGCAUGCCCUCAAUGCAAAACUCGAUACAAAAGACACAAAGGUUAGUUUUUGAGUUUUUGUUCGUAUCAAGAACACAUCAAACAUAUGAUUUUUGUAAGAAUUAAAGAGAGAUACAAAUGUUUUUAGGGAGUCCCCGAGUUGACGGUGAUGAUGACGAGGACGAUGUUGAUGACCUGGAAAACGAGUUUGAUUAUGCACAAGGGAGACGACAAUGGCAAGGAGAAGAUCCGGAUCUUUCUUCAUCUUCUAGAAGACAUGAAUCACAGCAACCAGUUCCCCUUCUCACUAAUGGCCAACAAGUAAGAAAAUUACUUAUAUACCCUUUUGUUCUAAGCAUUACCUUUUUAACUAAAUUCAGAGUGUUAUUUUCAGGUAUCUGGUGAAAUCCCAAUUGCCACACCGGACAAUCUAUCUGUAAGAAGUACAUCGGGUCCAUUAGGCCCUGGUGACAAGCCUGUCCGCUAUAUGGAUCCAAGACAACCAGGUUACUUUCUUUUUUUUUUUUUUUUUUUUUAAAAAAAAAGUAUUAUUAUUAAUCAGAUAAUGUUGUAGUAAUUAUGCUAAUGAUGCCCUUUUAAUAAAUAGUUCCUGUAAGAAUUGUGGACCCAUCAAAGGAUUUAAAUUCAUAUGGGCUUGGGAAUGUGGACUGGAAGGAAAGGGUAGAAGGCUGGAAACUAAAACAAGACAAAAACAUAAUGCAAAUGGCAAACAGAUACAAUGGCGGUGAAGGGAGAGGAGGUGAGAUUGAAGGCACGGGAUCAAAUGGAGAAGAAUUGCAACUGUAAGUAGUAAACUAAAGGGUACUUUAGGAAUAUCAUAUUUGUCGACUUAUGAUUUGACUUUUUUUUUUUUUUUUUUUUUUUUUUUUUUUUANUUUGUUUUGUUUUUUUUUUUUUUUUUUUUUUUUUUUUUUUUUUUUUUUUUAAAUAUAUAUAGGGUUGAUGAUCCAAGACAAUUAAUGAGCCGUGUGGUGCCUAUUUCAUCUUCUCAUUUGACUCCAUAUCGAGUUGUGAUUAUAUUGCGAUUGAUUAUUUUGGGAUUUUUCUUGCAAUAUCGGUUGACUCAUCCUGUUAAUGAUGCGUAUCCUUUGUGGCUUGUAUCUGUUAUUUGUGAGGUGUGGUUUGCUUUUUCUUGGCUUCUUGAUCAAUUUCCAAAAUGGUCCCCCGUUGAACGUGAGACCUUCCUUGAUCGCCUUGCAUUGAGGUAAGUAAGUAAUGGGAUUUAGAUUUUGGGCUAAUUGCAAGAAAUAGCAAUGUACUUUCAUUUGUAGUCAUCAUCAUGGGCAAUUAGGUAAUUUUAGCUUAAACAAUGAAAAUUUGUUGUUUUGUAGGUUUGAUAGGGAAGGAGAGCCUUCACAAUUGGCACCUAUAGAUGUCUUUGUGAGUACAGUGGAUCCAUUAAAAGAGCCUCCUCUCAUCACUGCAAACACAGUGUUGUCUAUUCUUGCUGUGGAGUAUCCUGUUGACAAAGUCUCCUGCUAUGUAUCUGAUGAUGGAUCUGCUAUGCUUACAUUUGAGUCUCUUUCUGAGACAGCAGAGUUUGCAAAAAAGUGGGUCCCAUUCUGCAAGAAGCAUAGCAUCGAGCCCAGAGCCCCUGAGUUUUAUUUUGCUCAAAAGAUAGAUUACUUGAAGGACAAGAUCCAGCCUUCUUUCGUCAAAGAACGUAGAGCAAUGAAGGUGAGUUUUACCACUUUUAUGUUUUAUGUUUUAUGAUUUCUUCCAGUGUUUUACCAAAUACCUAAAACACCCUUUUAUGGCAGAGAGAAUACGAAGAAUUCAAAGUUCGGGUCAAUGCACUUGUAGCAAAAGCACAAAAGAUGCCGGAAGAAGGCUGGUCUAUGCAGGAUGGAACUCCUUGGCCUGGAAACAACCCCCGUGAUCAUCCUGGAAUGAUUCAGGUAUUUGAAUGAUUGUUUGGUUGCUGAAAAUUUGUAUAUCAACAGUUGAUUGUUGACUUCUCUUGUUUAUGAUGAUUGGAAUUGGAUAGGUGUUCUUGGGGCACAGUGGAGGUUGCGAUACAGAUGGAAAUGAGCUACCUCGUCUUGUUUACGUGUCCCGUGAAAAACGUCCUGGGUUUCAACAUCACAAGAAAGCCGGUGCCAUGAAUGCUUUGGUAUGGAUCUCUUAAAAAAACAUGGAAAUUUUUUGUGUUUAUUGGUUGUUUAUGGAUGCGAUGCAAUUUGGUGUUACAGAUUAGGGUUUCGGCGGUUUUGACGAAUGGCGCGUACCUUUUGAACGUCGAUUGUGAUCACUACUUCAACAACAGCAAAGCUCUAAAAGAAGCCAUGUGUUUCAUGAUGGAUCCUGCCUAUGGAAAGAAGACAUGCUAUGUUCAAUUCCCACAGAGAUUCGACGGGAUUGAUUUACACGAUCGAUAUGCUAAUCGCAAUAUCGUCUUCUUCGAUGUGCUUUUCUGAACUUUACAGAGUCAAACUUAAAAAAAAAAAUUCAAAUUCAAAUUCCGAUCUUGUUGGGAUUUCAAAAAUCAAAAAUUGACAUUUCUAUAUAUAUAUAUUUUGUACAGAUUAACUUGAAAGGGCUGGAUGGGAUUCAGGGGCCGGUUUACGUGGGAACUGGUUGCUGUUUCAAUCGACGAGCUCUGUAUGGAUACGACCCUGUUUUAACAGAGGCUGAUUUAGAACCAAAUAUCAUUGUGAAAAGCUGUUGUGGUUCACGAAAGAAGUCGAGAAACGUUAACAAGAAGUACGUGGAUAAAAAAGCAGUGAUGAAAAGAACGGAAUCCAACACUCCAAUUUUAAACAUGGAUGAUAUCGAUGAGGGUGUUGAAGGUUUGAUUUUGAGUCUUUCACUUUAGUUUGUGGGUCCAGUGAAUCAUUAAUGUUGACUAAAUUCUUUUGUUUUUGAAAGGGUAUGAUGAAGAUAGAUCGUUACUAAUAUCGCAAAAGAGCUUAGAGAAGCGAUUUGGUCAAUCUCCUGUAUUUGUUGCUGCAACUUUCAUGGAGAUGGGAGGAAUUCCCCCCACUACCAAUCCAGCUACCCUUUUGAAGGAAGCAAUACAUGUUAUUAGCUGUGGUUAUGAGGAUAAAACCGAGUGGGGUAAAGAGGUAAUUUUACCCUUCUAGCUUCCGAUUCUUGUUAUACAUGGUCAUCGGAAAAACAAUAAUCUUCAUGUUAUUUUGUUUUGUGUACAAAUGCAAGCAGAUUGGAUGGAUUUAUGGGUCUGUGACAGAAGAUAUUUUAACUGGAUUCAAGAUGCACACAAGAGGAUGGAUCUCAAUAUAUUGCAUGCCACAACGUCCGGCUUUCAAGGGUUCUGCUCCGAUCAAUCUUUCCGAUCGUCUGAACCAGGUCCUCCGGUGGGCUUUAGGUUCAAUCGAGAUUUUACUCAGUAGACAUUGCCCCAUCUGGUAUGGGUAUAAUGGUAAAUUAAAACUCCUGGAGAGGCUCGCAUACAUAAACACCAUCGUCUAUCCCCUCACCUCCAUCCCUCUUCUAGCCUACUGUGUACUUCCGGCCGUCUGCCUUCUCACCGGAAAAUUCAUCAUCCCCGAGGUACGUUAAUCAUGCUUUAUGAGUUGUACGAUAUGCAUGAAUGUUUGUACAUGUUGAAAAUUGGGGGUUUUGCAACAGAUAAGCAACUAUGCUAGUAUGUGGUUUAUUCUUCUCUUUAUCUCCAUCGCUGCAACCGGAAUCUUGGAGCUCCGGUGGAGUGGCGUGAGUAUUGAAGACUGGUGGAGAAACGAACAGUUUUGGGUGAUAGGAGGCACGUCCGCUCAUCUAUUCGCCGUCUUCCAAGGUCUUCUCAAAGUUCUCGCCGGAAUCGACACCAAUUUCACCGUCACAUCCAAGGCAAACGACGAAGACGGUGAUUUUGCAGAACUCUAUAUAUUCAAAUGGACGGCGCUCCUCAUCCCACCCACCAGUGUUCUGAUCGUAAACCUAAUCGGCAUAGUUUCCGGCGUUUCAUCUGCAAUCAACAGCGGUUACCAGUCGUGGGGCCCACUUUUUGGGAAACUGUUUUUUGCAAUCUGGGUUAUCGUCCAUUUAUACCCGUUUCUCAAAGGUCUGUUGGGUCGGCAAAAUCGAACCCCCACCAUUGUUAUCGUGUGGUCGAUUCUGCUUGCUUCGAUUUUCUCCCUUUUGUGGGUUCGUAUCGACCCCUUUACCACAGACGAUACUCUUGAUGCAGUUAAAGGACAAUGCGGGAUCGAUUGUUAGGUAUAUAUAUAUAAAGUUUCUGAUUUGCAAAUUUGUGUAAGCCGUGAUGUGAUGCGAUGUGAUGUGUACGAAUGAUAUAAUUAUUUGAUUUAUUGUUGUUAUCCCACGAAUUCAAUGAAAAAUUUAAGUAUAACCUUAUCUUAAUAUGUCGGUUCAUUACAUUCAAUUAAGUUGAGUUGUAUGCAAAUUUCUUGUUAUUAUACAGUAUAUUACAAAAUUCAAACACUAUCUUCUUCAUAUUUAAUUUCAUGAAUUUAGUCUUCAACAAGUACAUAUAUAUAAAACAAAACAUGAAAUUCCAUACACACCAAGGUUCAUGUCAGAUCCUGAAACAAAAGAUUAAAGAAAAUAAAGUUAGAUGGUUGUAAAUUGUAACCUAAUGAAAUAUAAGAAAAGUUGGGGUUUUACUUACUCAAUAUAUUCAACGUUGAUUUUCUCCCUUUGAGACUUGGAAAUGGCAGAAAAAGCAUCAUUUGACAAAACAAUAGUCGAAGGACACGGCCUUUUGGAACAAAAAUCUACCACCUUAACAUCAAUGGUACCAUCUCUACAUGGUUUAUUAUUUCCACUCAAACACUUGAGUCUGUAUCGCCUACCACAUGCUGCACCGUUAUCCCAUAGUCCUUCGCUCACUGACACAAAUAAGUUCCCCAAUGGGAAUUGAUCUGCUCGGUUGCCAUUGCACCUUGUGGCUACAUUAAAAAUACAUAUAAAAAAAAAUACUUCAAUUUAACUAUUAUUUAUUUAUUUAUUUACAAUGUCAAAAACAUAAUAAUUAGAAUCAUAUUUAAACUUACGUGUAUAAGGAGGCUCAUAGGAUGAGGCAGUGCCAAUUUCACUCAAACCACACUUGAUGUUAUUGAAGAUUAACAAUAAAAAUAAAUUCACAAUCACUCCAAUUCCCAUCGCUACAAAUUCCCUUUUCUUUUUUCUCUCUCUCUGUCAAAUACUAUGGUAGUAAGAUGCACCCCCUUGGAUUAUAUAUAGAUAUCGUAUGGAUUUAUUUAAAAGAUAUAGGUAUAGUUUGAGAUAUAUUGUCACGUGUUUUUUAAUAGAAAUGUGCUUAGCAUGUAUAUAGAAUGAAUGAAAAGUUGGUGAUCAAAUUGGAUAAACUAUAGAUGUUUAAUGUGAUAUAUAUCUACCUUUGCGCAUGAAAAAUGGAUUUAAUAGGUUUUGGUCAAUUGUGAUAUAAAGUUCUUGAUGCCUACCACUAAUUAGUUUAAGGAAAGAUGGUUUCUAACGUAAACAUAAAACAACUUUUCUAUCGUCUCUUUUAAACAGAAAAAAUAGUCAAUUUUGACAAUGGCACAAAAAGGCAAUGGAAAAGCAUAUGUAAGGAUUAUUAGAUAAAACGAUAGUGUUUUAAUGGAGAAAAAUUAUAUUUUCGGUGAAUUUUUUUUAGUUGAUAAACCCAUUGUUGGUGUCGAAUCUAUGAAAUUAUUUUGGCUUAUACGUCGGCUGACCGAUAUGAUUACCAAAGAAAGGUGCAUCCAGUACAAUCACCACUAACUAAAACCAAUGGCUCUAAACUGUUCGCAAUUUUUUAAGGAAGGGAAAUUCAUAUUUGAAUUCGUCACUACAAAGUGUUACAUGAUUCGUUAUUAAUAAAUAUUUUAUAUUACCUUUUAUCAUAUAAAUAAACAAUCCAAAUUUUAUUUUUAGAUGCAUAUUUCACAAAGCUUUUGUGUUUUUUUCGGUUCAAGUUUGUGUUAAAGUAAUUCAAUAUAGAUGGAGAAUGUCGUUCAAUAAAAGUAGUUUGUGUUAAAGUAAUUCUAUACAGAUGGAAAAUGAUGUUCAAUAAAAGUUUAGAAUAUCAGAUAAUCAAAAUUAGUUUGUCGAUAAGAUUUAUUAUUUUAAAAGAUGGGAUAUAUAUACUAAACUCUCAAUAUUUUUAACGAUUCAACAAAAAAGUCUUAAAUUUUAUUUUUUUAGAGUAAAAUCCUAACUAGCGGCAGUUUUUGACAUGUUUACCAUUUUUUGCCAGUUAGCCAGUAAUUAUGGUUUUACUAUAAAAAAAUAAAAUUUAUGACUUUCUUUUUCAAAUCGUGAAUUAAGACAUUACUGUAAAAAAAAAUUAAAGUUUAGGACUUUCUUAUCAAAUCGUUAAAAAUAUAGGGACUUUAGUGUAUAUAUCCAUUUUUUUGUUAGAAAUUUAAUGUCAUUAUAAUCUUUAAGUAUAAGAGUUAUUGAAAUCUGACCAAUAUGCUCUGGUCAACUAGAUUCUAUUAAAAUCAUUAACGUUUGAUUCUUGUUAAAUAGUUUUUUUUUAAUCUCAACAAAUCGACAUUGAAAAAAAUAAAGAUAAUCAAGAAAGAAAGAACCACGAUUGUGUUGAAUUUUUGCAUAAUGAUAAUCAAGAAAGAAAGAACCAGUAUCGUGUUGAGUUUUUUGCAAUCCUAAAAAUGGAGAAUUAAGAAACCGGAAAAGAAGAAAUUGUCCUUCUUACACAUUCUCCACAUUCACACAUUUUUUACCGGACAUGUGUUGUUUGUGUUUGUUGAAUUUGUUCCUCUUUUCAGUUCAAGAUUUGACGGCGAACCAAGAAAAAAGUUUUACAAGUCUUCUUACCCUCUAUCGUUCUCUCUUUUGCAUCAGUUUCCCAGAUUGUGAUCGUAGCAAAGUAAGAUGAUGAUGGUAAGAAAAAACAAUGGUGUUGCAAUAAAAAUCACAAUUAAAAGUUCUUGGGAUAGGAAUUAGGUCUCAUGAGACUGAUAAAAUUAUUUGUUUCUAGGGAAACCAAACCUAUACACUAAAGUCUCAAUAUUUUUAACGAUUUAACAAAAAAGUCAUAAACUUUAUUUUUUUGACAGUAAAACCCUAAUUACCGGCUAACCGGCAAAAAAGAGUAAAUGUUUCAAAAACUGUCGAUAAUUAGGAUUUUACUGUCAAUUGAUUUUAAUAUUUUCAUGCAAAAGACAACUGUAUUACGAAAGAAAUAACUGUUAACCGUAACUACAAUAAGGUAUUAAAGUUAUAGAAGUUUCAAUCCUAAUAACGCAUAAUUUUCACUUUUGGUUUAAUAUGUUUAUAUUAUUUAUCUAAAAAACAAAAUCAUAAUAAAUAUAUUUUGAUUAAAUGUCACAGAAAAACCACGCCCAUGUCAAUUUUGAUUGUUACAAAAUGACAAUUUUUUUGAAAAGAGAUAUCAUACCGUAUUAAUAAGGUGGUGUUUGUUUUUUUUUCAAAAGCUCUUCUAGACCUUUUAUGUCUGCAUCGCGUAGACGACCCACAAACUUUUAGUCCUAUAGACUGUUUGUUUUUUAGAAGACCGUACGCAUAAAAAAAUCUGUCCAUCCUCUUCUUGACGUAGAUGUGAACAUAUGUCUUCUAGUCUCUUUCUUAAUCUUUCCACUAAUCUUAAGAGACAAUAAAAAAGCGCAAAAAGAAUAAAAAAAUGAAAAAAAAAACCUAUCAAACCUCAUUCGUGCACCUUUUUUUUUAAUUCAUUUGCCAUGUAAACACUUUGUAAAUAUAUUAUUUUAAUGAUUUUAGCUUUAUAAACUUUAUUUGGUCAAAUAAUUUUUUGGUAUUCAUAUUUUAAAAAACUUUAUGCAUAUUUAUCCGAUGACUUUUUAUAACAGUAAUUAAAAAAGUUAAAUAUACUACAAAACUUAUGAAAGUAUUUUACGAACGUGUUUUUUUUCUUCAUAAAAUGGACAAUUAAUUUGUUAUAUAUAUAUAUAUAUGCUUAUUAUAUGAUAACUAGGCUCGUGCGUGUGAACAAGUCUCCGUUUGCCACCUAGCACGGUAUCUNNNNNNNNNNNNNNNNNNNNNNNNNNNNNNNNNNNNNNNNNNNNNNNNNNNNNNNNNNNNNNNNNNNNNNNNNNNNNNNNNNNNNNNNNNNNNNNNNNNNNNNNNNNNNNNNNNNNAUAUAUAUAUAUAUAUUGAAAAUAAGGUGGUUGUAUUAUUAAAUUACAAUGUUUUUAUAUAAGAAAUAUUGAAAAAGUCUUUUAAAUUAAAAAAAAAAUCAAUUUAUUUAGGUUUUAAUUUAUUUUAGCAGUUUGUAGAUUUUAAAAAACAAACAGUCUUCUUGCAGACUGCAGACGUUUGGUCCAUAUCUUCUACUGCAGAUGUCGUCCGCAGACUGCAGACAUUUUGCUUCUGAAAAACAAACACCAUCUAAGUUUCAAACGCAUAAACAUUUAUUAACAAAAGACAUGUAAACGUGGAUUAUGAACUAAUGACAUAGAUAUACGAUAAGUACUAUAAAGAGGAAAAAGCAUAGUUAAGAUUGACCCAAAUUGUAAUGAUUAUAGUCUUGCUAAUGUAAAUAUUUAAUUAGUUUUUCUUGAUAAUCAUGAUAAAUGAUACUUUUUGACUCAUGAGUGAUGAAUAAACAAUAGUAUAUAUAGAUUUACUAAGACGAAAAAAGACAUGAGUUUUAAUGAUAGAAUAUUAUUGAAAAAAUAAUAAAGAAUAUGAUCAACUUUAAAUUAGUGCCCGGAUAAAAUCGAAGUUUUAGAAAGUGCUGAUUAGUGGCGAUCCUUCAUUUUUUUAUAACUUUAUUUCAAAUUAAUGGUAAUCAUGUAUAAUAAUUAAUAAACUUACAAUACGCUAAUAUACAUUACAAUCAUUUUCAUCCUAUGUGAAAAUAAUUUUUGACAUAUUAUUCGUUUUCAAAUUAUAUAGAUGCAUAGGCAAUAAUAUGUCUUUUAUGUGAAAUAAUGUGUGUUUUUUUUAUGUGAAAACAUGUUUUUUAUAUAUAAAAAUAUAUUUUCACAUAAAAAAAACCUGUUAUGCAAAAAACCUUUUGGACCAAAUUUAUAUAGAAACAUAUUUUUCACAUAUAAAAACCUUUUUAUAACAAAAAUGUUUUGUAAAAAAGGUUUUUAGUAUAAAUAUGAUUUUAUAAAGCAAAAAUAACAUAUUUCGAAACAAAAUUUUGGAAAAAUAUAUGUAAAAAAAACAAAAUUUAAGAUGAAAUUGUAACAAAAUUUUAAAAUAGGGACAAAAAUAUAAAAAUUGGACCAAAUUUAUAACAAAAUUUAAAAUCUGAGAAAAAAAUGUAAAUUUUAAAACUGGGAUGACCUUAUAGCCGGGAAAAAUGAUGAAAAUGAAUAUAUUUACCUGUAUUCGUAUCUUAAUUAAAAAAAUAAUAAUUUAAAUACUUAAUUGAAUAUAAGGUUAAAAAUAUAAACACUUUAUAGAUUUUCCUAUACUAAAUACUAUAGCAAAAUAUGUGGAAUUUGGUAUUUAGUAACUUUGGUCUCACUUUUGUUAAAUUUCUAUUUUCUAUCAUUUUACUUUUUGAAAAUUCGUUUUUACCUCUCGAUUUUUCUACUUAUUAACUUUGGUCCAUCACUUUUGUUAAGUUCUCAAAUUUUCAUCCUUUUUACUUUUGAAAUUGUUGCUUUUACCCCCUUUAACUUUCAACUUUCUAGAUACUCAACUCACUCAGCAUGAAGUAUAAGAAAAAAGAGAAGAGAGAGAGAGAGAGAGAGAGAGGAAGCAGCGGGCUGAAGAACCCACAUGAGACGUCUUCUGGCGGUAACCACCAAGGCGUGGAUUUGUUACCCUAGCCGUCGCACGACUCCGUGCACCCUUGGAGAGUAAUCAGUGUUAAAACACUAAGUUGCUUGAAAUAAGGAAUUUGAAGUUAAAUUGAAAAUUUAAAUGUAGAUACGAAAACACAUCAUCUUGCUAACUUGACAACUUAACGCCAUCUUAAGUGGAUACCAUAGAAUGACCCACGAGUGGCGAAUUUAAAAAAAGAAUCACAUGGUUCCUAAUUAAGUGAAGCCAAUAAAAAAAAUCAACAAUACUUUUGGAGUCGGGUCAGGUCGGCUCAUGUACCUUAAAAGAACUGAACAAGUUCAAUCGGCUCAUGUACCUUGUAACGACCCGUCUCUGGUAUGUUGUUUCCAUGUUAUUUAUUUAGAAGUUUUCAAGAGGGACUCGGGGAGUCUAUAGCCCGACUCGUCGAGUAGAGACGGGAUUUCGAGCACGUGUAAGUCGCCGACUCAACGAGUCCAUAUUCGAGACUCGGCGAGUCCGCCUGCUAGGAAGAAACCCUAAAUCCCCGGGUUUGCUCACUAUUUAAGCAAUGUUAUGUGCCCCAAACUCGCCUCCUUCACCCUCAGAGAGCUUGAGAGAAACCCUAAACCAUUCCUUGUAUGACUAAAGUGUUUUGUGUGGAUUCUUGAAGGAAAAAGAAGAAAGGACCCAAAAAGAGGAAGUGUAGAGCAAAGAUCCAAGGCCAAAGUCAGAGUUCAUUGAGGUAUGUCUCGGAAUUAUUCUGUUUUGUGCUUAAAACCUCCAUUAGAACACCUCUAAGGCUAGUUUAAUGUAUUUUCCAAGCUUUAUAGUUGUAUGGAUGCCUUGUUGGGUCGAGAUAUCCCUAGAUCUGUUCAUUUAGGAGUUUUAGAGCCCUGAUCUAGUGCCUUUUCGAAGUUUCUUUGCUUGAGAACCCUAGAUCUAGCCUUUAUUAUGCUUUUUGAGCCUUUUAAUCUUCAUGGGUGCAUAUGGGCACGUAAAGAUAGAAUCUUUACGUGUUAAUCGAGCUUAGGGAGCCCAGAUCUAUAAGUUUUAUGCGUUGGAUUCAAGCAGAAUCGAGUUUAUAGUAGCUGCAUGCAUGCGACUCGGCGAGUCGUUCUUCCGACUCGGUGAGUCGAGUCGUGAGUCCCCGAUUUUUCCUCUUUUGAGUAAUGCCGAGUGGGGACCAGUGAGUAGUAGAGUGGACUUAGUGAGCUGGAGGUCAGACUCAGUAAUGGAGGGACUCGACGAGUUGUUCAUACAACUCGGCGAGUCCAAGGCAAUCUUCUUAGCUCAAGAACAACUCGUCGAGUUGUUCAUACGACUCGGCGAGUCGGAUGCAGAUAGCUUGAGUUCUAGAAUCGAAAGGAAACUCGUCGAGUUUAUGCCAUACUCGACGAGUAGCAGCGAGUAGGGUUGAGAAGUGAGAAUAGGGACUAGGCGAGUUGGCGGCCCAACUCGGCGAGUCAGGUCAACUGUAGGUUGACUUUGACCAGGAGAGUUGACUUUGACCAGGGGUAAAAGAAUCAUUUUACCCCAAUACAGUGAUUAGUAUUUGAUUGAGUGUGUUUAUGGAAUUGUAGCCGGAGAGAUACCAGAGCAGCAGCAGAUAGCUUCCAGAGCCAUACAUUCAGCAGCCAGUUUACGAGGUGAGUUUCCUACCAGUAGGAACGGGUCUACGACAACAAUGCCGGCCCGUUUAGCUAGCAGUUAGUUCCGGACUUCGGUCCGAAGCAGUAGUUCAAGGUGCUUGAUGUUGUGUUUCGGGCAUGUCUAUGUGUUAUGUUAGCAGAUACGUGUUUAUGUUAUGCUAUGUUCAGACAGUUCCGGAUUUCGGUCCGAUGCAGCUAGUUCCGGACUCCGGUCCGAUGCAGGGGACAAGGUCCCAGUCAGUUCCGGAUUUCGGUCCGAUGCAGACAGUUUCGGACUUCGGUCCGAUGCAGUCAAUUCCAGACUUCGGUCCGAUGCAGUGGGCAAGGCCCAGUAUGUGCUUUAUUUGUUAUUGUGUGGUAUGCGGUAGUUUAGGGGAGCUCACUAAGCUUCGUGCUUACAGUUUCAGUUUUGGUUUCAGGUACUUCCGCAAGUAAAGGGAAGAACUCGGGAUGAUGCAUCGCACACACCACAACUUCAGUUUUUGUCGUGGGAGUUGAUUCAGUUUCUUAGAUAUGUUUUGAUACUGUUGUGACACAUUUUUUCUCACAGUAUUUUAUUAUGUGAUACUCAGUUUUAUGAUCUUUGUUAUAAUAUAAAUGAAAUUAUCGGGUCGUAUUUUUGGGAUGUUUCAAGUACCUUGUGCCACCGAUUAAAAAAAUUUUAAAAACCGAUUGAAAUAUAACUGAAAAAGACAUACAGCUUAACGAAAAACUAGUUGAUUAUUAGUCCAUUGAUAAAGCGGCGAACGCAGAGUGAGAGUCUUUGGCAUGUGGGCUUUCAUUUUAUUAGAACAACUUGUUUAUUUAUUAAUAUUUUGAGAGUGCCGAUUAAGAGUAGUUAACUUUUUAUUAUCAAUCUCAUAAUUUAAAAUAACAAAUUGUCCCUAAUAACUUAUAUUUUUCUCUUUUUAAAGUGGUUUUUUUUUUUAAAAAUAAAAAUAAAAAUAAACUCAAUGUAGGUUCUCUAUUUUUUUAAGACUAAAUUACACAGAUGGUCCCUGUGGUUGGCACGAGAGACCAAAGAUAGUCCUUAUGAGGAAUUUUGGACUUGUAUGGUCCCCGUGGUUCCAAAUUGUUGCACGAAGAGUCCUUAUGACAUACUCCGUUUAAUUGUUGUCGUUUAUUUAAAUCACGUAACCCUCACACGAGGGUAUUUUGGUCUUUUGCUUAUCCCUUCUCUCUCUCAUAUCUUUAUAUGAUCUGCAAAAGAUUUCCCUUCCCUAUAAAAAUUAAACCCCCAUCACUUCCUUCAUUAUUUUUCGUCUCCUCUAUUCUCUCUUCUCUCUUCUCUCUGCUGUGUCUUUCUAAGAAACUUUGCUUAAGAAUGGUAAAUUGUUUUUGUGGAACGCAAGCGGUGAUAGUGACAUCAUGGAUGGAUCUCAACCCAGGUUGUAUGUUUUGGAAAUGUCCUAGCAGUUGCGGUUUCAUUGCCUGGUUUGAUGAGCCGAUGUGUCGAAGGGUUGUGGCUGUCAUUCCAGGUUUGCUAAGAUCCAUGAACAAGCUUCAAGAAUCUCUGCUGCAAGCAAGUUUUGAAGCAAAAAAAGUGAAGAUGAUGCUAGUUUUUAGUUGGGUUUUCUUUUUCAUGUAUGUGUAUAAAAGAUGCUAAUAGUAUUAGUCUGGAGAUGAUGGUUCUUUUGCUUGUGGGUAGAUGAUGGUUCUUUUGCUUGUGGUUAGAAUCAGAUAAUAGUAUUAAUUUGAAGAUGAUUUCGUUUUGUUUGUUUGUGAUGCAAGAAAUGUUCGUAUGUAUGAAUGGAAUGCUUUUUAUUUGGGAAACUUUUAGUCUGCUACCAUUGUAAAAUAUUGGUCAGGAACUUAAUGAGUGUAAAAUAUUGGUCUGCAACUUAAUGAACCGUGCAGAUCCAUUAAAGUAUAAAAUAUGAAAGUGAAAGGUUUUUGUAGGCUUUAGACCAUUGUAGAGCCAUAACAACAUUAGAAAUGUUCAAAAAUAAAAUGCAAACUUUUGCAUAGUCAUAAAGUUCAUUACAUAACCUUAAAGUGCAAAGUCAUAAUACCAAAAAAAUAUCAAAAGAGCUUGCAGACUAAUGUAUCAUAACCAAAAGAACCAUCUUAGUCUAGCACCCUGUGUGAACCAUAAUACCAACAAAAGAUAAAGACACACAAUAACCAACUUAGUCUGACCUUUCUAAGGUACCAAAACAAACAACACAAAAGACCUUUCUAAGGUUCCAUAACAAACAACACAAAAGACAACAAAUCAAACUUUUUCCUUCAUUUUGGAUUUAUCCUUAAGUUUGGUUUUCUCCUUCAUUUUGGGUUUCUCCUUUUUUCCAUCUCCCUGCUUCUUUGCCUUGCUAAGCUUCUUGCCCCCUGCCACCACAUUUCUAACUUCAGUUUGUCCCCCUUGUCCCUUGCAACUCCUAGAGUUGUGACCCUUGUUAUUGCAUUUGCUACAAGUAACUGUAAGGAACUUCUUGGUCAAACUUUUACCUUGAUUAUUUGGUUCUUCAGUUUGAGCUCUCUUUCUCUUCUUUUUUGGUCUCCCCACCUGCAUAAUUAAUAAAUUAUAAAACAGUAUAAACGUAUACUAACUUGUAAAUUGAAAAUUAUUUACCUGUUUAGUAUGCUUAGGAGGUGUUAGUGUUAUGGGGAAAUCUGACUUUGGCCACAUACUUCUUCCAUUGAUAGGUUGAACUUUGUACUUGUACAUUUCAUUCCAUGUGCUUAACCUAUAACAUGGAUGUACCCACUCCUCAAGAGGUGGGACAUUUUUUCCCAGUGCCUGCAACUACAAUUCCUGUCCCUCCAAUUAACCACAAAUUGUUCCCCCAUUGUCCCAGUAACUUGAGUCUUAUCAGCACCAUUAAAUAUGCAAGUGUAUUGAGAAGCAUCUUUCUUAACUCCAUCUAAAAGUUUUGUGGCUGGGGGGGGGAGAGGGGCNUUAUCUAUCACAUUUUGCACAAUACAAAUUCGUUUCAUUAAGUAUUCCCUAAUAUAUUCUAAACAUGUAAUUAUAGGUUUGUCUCGAGCAUCUAACAACUUUGAGAUGAAAACUUCACAUAAAUUAUUCAACAAAAUAUCUGUAUGUGCUCUUCCUGUACAAUGCAACAAAAUAUCUUAUAAGAAUCUGUCAAAGUGUAAAUCUUCCUUGAAUCUGUCAAAGUGUCUAACUGUUGUUGCUGUUGCACAUUCCCAUAAAUGAUCUCUGUGCUCCUUCCCCCUCCAUUGUAGCUUCAUGUUUUCGUGAAUAUGUCUUAAACAGAACCUGUGUUCAGCGCUAGGUAAUAGGUUGGCAAUGGCAGAUAAAAUCCCCUAAUUAACAAGUAACAAAAAUGUUAUUUUCUAAAUGUAGUAGACAAAAUUACAAAGAUGUCAUGAACAAGUAUCAUAAGAAGAUUAACCUUUUGCCUGUCAGAAAUAAAUGUGAAGUUUGAAUUUGUAGAGAGCUCCAAAUCUUCACCUAGACACUCUAGAAACCAACUCCAUGAGCUUUUGUUCUCGGCUUCAACUAUGGCAUAUGCUAGUGGGUAGAUCCGAUUAUUGGAAUCAAGACCCACAACAGUGAGAACCUAUCCAGUGUAAGGUCCCUUCAUGAAAGCCCCAUCGAAACCUAAAAAAUCUCUUAAACCUGCCUUAAAACCCAGUUUUAAUGCACCUAAACAGACAUAAAUUCUCUUAAACAUCCUAGUUUCCAAGUCUGCAUUUGGUUCACUGUAUACAUCAAUCUUCACAAUUGUUCCUGGGUUGCACUGUUGUAAUUCUAAUACGUAAUCCCUGAGAAGGCUGUAUUGCUUUUGAUAAUCUCCAUAAACAUGUUUCUGUGCAAGUUGUUUAGCCCUAAAGACCUUCAUUCUUGACAUCCCCACCUCGUAUAUCUUUUGUAACUCUACACACAAAGCUUUGACUGGGAUAGUUGGGUUUCCUUCCACUUCUUGAAGAAUGAUGGUUGUAAGAAACUUAGGCCUCAUUUGAUAGUUGCCGAUUGAGAAAGUGCUGACUGAGAAAGGUCUGUCUGGGUAAGAAAUCCUGAUUGGGUAAGAAAUCCUGUUGUUUGAUUGUACAUCUGACUGAAUGUGCUGAGUGAUGAAAAAUGACCAUUUUACCCUGCUGUUAUAUAUAUAUAUUGAUGGAUUAAAUUGCUGAAUAAUUAUAAAAACAUACAUAUUGUCAUACAAAAUGUAAAUUACACACAAAUAAAAAAUGUCAUACAAAAUGUAAAUUAAACAUAAAUCAUUUAAUAUCCAAAUAAAAACAUAAUGAAAUUUAAAAUAACAUAAUAAUUUAAUGUAAAGUAGGUGAAAGUAGUCGAUUUGCAAUCUGAUCACGCAAAACACGCAUAUAUUCAACGGCUUCUGGACCCCAUUCUAUGCCUUGUAUGUUUUCUCUAUCAAUUCCCCCACCUUGGACGUCAGGAGUAACCAUAGUGUCCUCCUCAAAAUUUCUAAACAAGUCAUCUUCUAUAUUGUAUUUCCUUAUAAAAUUAUGGACCGCGACACAAGCAAUGACUAUGUCUCUUUGCACUGUAAAAGGAUAAGGAGCCAUUUGUUUUAAGAUUGGGAAUCUCGCCUUCAAUACACCAUAAGCACGCUCAAUAACAUUUCUAAGUUGUGCAUGAGCAUGAUUGAACCUUUCUUCUCUAGUUAAAGGUCUGCCUCUUCGAAAAUCGGCUAACCAAUACCUAGUAUUGCGGUAUGGAGCCAUAAACCCACGAGUGUUUGUAUAUGCGGCAUCACAAAGGUAAUAUUUAUCUGCAAACGAAUGUGACAUAUUAUAUAAUGACACAUAUUAUAUAAAGAAGAUAGAUAAUAAAAAUUAUAUAAAGAUUACAAACCUGGUGGAGGAAAUGGAAAUCCAGAAGUCGAAUUGAAUGCAACUUCUUUCAAAACUCUUGAAUCAUGUGCUAUACCCUCCCAUCCAGCCCAAACAAAGGUGAAUAUCAUAUCAAAAUCACAAAUUCCUAUUACAUUUUGAAAACAUUCUCCUUUUCCUCUUCCUCAAUAACGAGUUUGUUGAUCAACAGGUACAACCGCACGUACAAGAGUUCCAUCUAAUGCACCAAUUGCUCCGGAAAAAAUAUUUUUUAACCGUCUAUGUCGUUCUGAGUUAUGUCUUGUUGGGUUAGGAGUUGUUGGUACUAUAAUUUCUUUUGCAAAACACAUCAUUGCUGUUAGGACCUCGUGAAAACAUUGAUGAAUCGUUUGUGUGGAGUGAUGAAAUCUUCCCUUAACCGCGCGAAAACGUUCAUUAUGUCCUAUAACAUGUAAGAAGAUAGCCAUCUUCUCUUCAAUGCUUAUUGUCCUACUAGCUUGCAACCAAUUUUUUUGGGUAAAAUGGUUGCAUAGUAAUGCAAAUGCCUCUUGUGUAAGACGCAUCAUAUCGAAACAUUGUGUAGGGUCUCCGUAUAUCAAAUCUUAUGUAUACGCAUACCCGCUUGAAUCGUUAUCUCUAAUUCUAAGAAUUCUGAUUAGUCUGCGCCGGUUUGACCUCAACCAAUAAAACACAAGUAAAAGAAAAGCUACAACUUCACCAUCAGAAACCAUACUUGAUCUAUUACAAACAAUUAGGUAAUAUGUUAAAGUAAAAAAAAAAUCAUGCACCAAAAAAAUUAGUAAACAUCAUUAAAAGUAACAAAAGUCGUAUAACAAACGUUGUAUAACAAAAUACUAGUAAACAUCAUCCAAAAAAGUCAUCAAACUAUAUAACAGUAAACCAAAAAGUCAUCAAACAUAGGAUCCAAAAAACUAGUAAACAUCAUCCAAAAAAAGUCAUCAAACAUAGGAUCCAAAAAACUAGUAAACAUCAUAAAAAAAACUAGUAUCCAAACUUUUCUACCCGCACCUAUCAAAGGUAACUAUACUUCCUACCCGCACCCAUCACCCACGACUCACAACUACUAUGCGAAAGUCGUAACCAAACUUUUCGAACAUCAGCACUUUCACCAAAUAGCAAAAGAGCGGUCUUGUGUCUUUCAUCUUCUUCUCCCCAUUCCAUUUUGUUCAAUUUCUCCAUACACGCAUCAACAUCCUUAUCCAUUUCACUUUUUUCAAUUCUUUCAUUUUUUUUCCACUAAUAACCUUACAAUCUUGACAAUCUCCUCUUCAACUUCUAAUGCCCUUGCAUCUCUUUUUUUUCCACCAACUCUUUUGUUUCCACCAACUUCCUUAUUUUUGAACGCCCCGAAGAUUCUUCACUUGCACCUACGUGUUGUGUUGAGGUUUCCAUUAGAACAUCAUCAUCAAAAUCAUGGGGACUAAACUCUUCUACAGGACAAGGGAGUGUAGAAGAUGGCCCCCAACUUUGAGAUCCGGUUGAUGUCAACCCUUCAAAUAGUUGGGUGCAAAGAUCAGGGAACAAUAGGGGUUUAGUUUUCAAUGACAACACGAACUUGUUCAACUGUUUACAAUUUUUAUAAAUAUUAGUAUAUGUUAUAAAAAUAAUCAUAAUAGUAUUGAUUAAAAAAAUAAAUUUAAUCAAAUAGUAUAUGUUAUAAAAAUAAUCAUAAUAGUAUUGAUUAAAAAAAUAUUACCUUCCCCUCUUCUUUCCAUUGUUCAUCGGUCAAAUUAAAUUUAUUUUUUAUAGGAUCAUAUAUAUUGCCGGUUUUGUUUUUGAGUUUCACCCAAGCAACAUACUUUGAUUUGUAGUAGUCAAAGUGGUUUCUCAUUUGCUUCUGAUCAACCUCUUUACCGUGUUCGUUUAUCAAUUUUUCGCGUAUUGUCUUCCAUGAACUUGCCUUAAGCCCAGAACCCUCACGACCAUUAGUGGUUAGUUCAUGGAUACAUGCAUCAAGAAAAGUUUUGUCCUCACUCUCGUUCCAAACCAACAUCCUAAAACAUUAAUAUUUAAAGUAAUUUAUCAUAGUUUUUAUCAAGUUAAAGAACAAUUUUAAACAUAAAGCAAUUUUCAACCAAGGAAGUUAACAUCAUCCUAAAUUAUGAUUUGAUAACUUAUACACAAACAAUUUCAGAUGUCACAAAACAUCAAUAUUCAAGCUAACAAUUUCACAAAAGAUAACAAGCUAACAAUUAAGGUCAACAAUAUCAAAGCUAUAAAAUUAGAAAGAAAAAAAAAACAGCCCAAUUUUUGAUUUUAUAGCUUAUACUUUUGAUACUAAUACAAGCUCAAUAAUUGGAAGACAUGUGAUGUUGCAUGCAUUCCCCCUCUCGCCCACUCUUCAAGGAACAAUUGGAUUAUUAAAAAAGUUAGGUUACCAUUAAUCUUAUAAUAAUUAUUUAUUAUUAAUUUUACUUUUGUACUUUACACAUAAAAACACAACNAAAACCAAAAAAAUAAAAAAAAAAAAAAAAAAAAAAAAACAGCCCAAUUUUUGAUUUACAAACCUACUUGUAUUUUCCAAUUCACAUUCAAUUUCAAUUCACAAGCUAUAAAAUCAAAAUUCAAAAAAAAAACCUUCCAAUUCACUUUCAAUUUCAAUUCAUAAGCUAUAAAAUAUGAACCGGAGAAAAAAACUUCCAAUGUGAAUUGGAGAAAAAAACUUCAAAUUCAGAAAAAAAAACAAAAAAACAAAAACAAAAAACAACUACCAAUUCACAUUCUAUUUUAGAAUUCAUAACAUUAGAAAAAAAAACCUUCAAUUUUCAGUUCUUAUACACAAAGAACUACAAAACAAAACAUAAACAAACUUCCAAUUCACAUAUAAUUUCGAAAUUCAUAUAUUAGAACAAACAAUUUCAGAUUUCAGUUCUUGUACACAAAGAACUACAAAAAAGAACAAAAAAAGCUUAUCAUAUGAACAUACAGGUUGAGAAUUCAUAAUAUUCUAACAUAUACUAAUUUGAUUUCAUAAAGAACUACAAAUUUCAUACCAUCAAAGCAUAAAUGGUAUCUGAUUUUGAAAAUUAUUAACAGAAAAAUUAUCUAACCUGUGUGAUGGAUCGAGAAGGCGUCACUGAUGGCGGUGGCGGAGGUCCGACGAGAUGGCACAGGUCCGACUGGUCGGACUGUUUGGCGUUCAAUGUUGUGGAGUUCUUCCUAGCGGCUGCUGUGCUUUUAGGUCACUAGAAGGGAAGCGAAUGGGGAAAGAAAUAAUAACGACGCAGGGGCAAGAUAAGGGCAAGAUUGUCUAAUUUCCAGUCAGCAACUGUUUAAAAACUGAUCCAGAAAGCGAUUUGGGUCAGCAGAUCUUACCGAGAAAGCUCAAAUCAAACACCAAAGGUCUGACCGAGUCAGCCCAAUUUGCUGACUCGACCCAGUCAGACAUUUAUCAAACACUCCCUUAGAAGUGCACUCUUUAAUAGACCUUGACUGCACACAUCUAUGCUCAUGAACCAAAGUUUUCACCAUCCAAUCGCUUUCUUCAUCAGAUCUAGAAAUUAAUACCACCCAAGGGCAUGUUGCUUUUUGUGAGCUGACUGUUUUAUCCUUGCAUUUGAUUCUACUUUUUGUCCAUGGCCCACCUGUCAUUUUCGGGACCACACCCCUGCAUUUUGCCCUAAUUCUUUUUUUUUUAUCAUUUUUUGAAAAGUAAAUGUUUCUCCUAGUUCGAAUUGAAUGCAUUUUAAUGUAGUCCUUCACUUCUGAUGAGGACUUAAAUAUUUGACCCAGAUGGAAUGCAGUUUCAUGUACUACUCCUGAUGAACAUGUGGUUGGUUUGUUUAACCUUCUCAUUAAUUUCUUCCUCUCAUCUUCUUCUACACCAGUUGAUUCAAAUAAUUGUGUAUCUAUCACCUCCAAAUCCUCAUCAACUGUGACAUCAGGUGCAUUGAAUGAUUGGUGGUUAUCUAGAUUUGGAAAAGAAUAAACACCACUGUGGAAGUCUUUCAUAUUCACUUCGACAUCCUCCACCAUAUUAAGUUCAUCCACUAAAAAGUCACUAUCGUCGCUUAUACUUCCAUCGGUACUAGUCUCAUCACUAAUAACAUCUCCAAUUUCUUCAUUUUCCCCCAUCUGUUGGUAAUCAUUAUGAUCCAUAUAAAAGAAAGGAUCAAAGUCUUCUGAAGGGACAACAUCUUGGGCUUUGUUAAGCUCCUCACUUGCAGGAUGAACUCGAACAUCUUUCACUACAUCUCUAUCAAAAUGUCCAAAAGGUACAACAGACCUAGAAAAGUCAUAGUUCUCAUUCAAGUCCAUUUUUCUACUACAUGAUCCUACCUUUGUACUUGUAAACUUUUUUCGAUUGAGUUCCGGAGAAAUAGGCUCAUUGAUUUCUUCCGAUACGACCUUAUUUGGAGAUAUAAAGUAUGCAUGGAGUCUAGUAGUUCCAUGUUCAGUAUACACCAUAAUCUCUUUAUGAUUAGCAACAUGCUUACUUAACAAAAGUACGUCUGAGUUGUUACCUAAAGGAAGUAACCCAUAAUCGAUUUCAAUCUCAGGAAUCAAGAAGUGGUAGUAGAUAGGCUCACCGUUGAUAUAACCUAUCUCCUUCAUCAUAUCGUCUAACUCAUGUACGGAAAACACGUCCAUGUCUACGUAGUCAACAUAGUCAAUACUCCCACCAACGUAACGUCUUCCUGGGUAUUUUGUGAACAUACCCCCAUGGUGAAUCUUGAAUGUGCAAAAACUACUUAACUCAACUGAAAAACAAAUAAAUAAUGAUAUGAGGAAAGAAUGAAGUCUCAAAAUUGAAUGUGCAUAAAUUACUUAACAAAAUUGAAAGUUGUUAACUGAUCACUCACCAUAAGCUUUGAUCAGGUCAGGAUUUUCUGAGAAUUUUGAACGGACAUUCCACAAAGUUAGAACGAUCGCAAAAGAUGAAAAUGAAAACCCUAGUUUCCGUUUGAUGUUUUGAAGUGAUGAAGAUGAAAAACCAGAGGAGAAAAGAAAGGGAUGAUUUCUUGGGGUAAUGUAAAUGGCAGCUAGAUGUAAGGAUCAUUUAUGAAUAUGAUCAUUUCGUGUAACAAAGCAAAAGACCAAAAUACCCUCGUGUGAGGGUCACGUGAUUUAGAUAAACGGAAACAAUUAAACGGAGUAUGUCAUAAGGACUAUUCGUGCAACAAUUUGGAACCAUAGGGACCAUACUCGUCCAAAAUUCCUCAUAAGGACUAUCUUUGGUCUCUUGUGCCAACCACAGGGACCAUCUGUGUAAUUUUGUCUUUUUUUAAAGAUAGUUCAUAAUUUUUCUAUUAUAUACAUUGUAAAUGAAAUUGAGAACUUAAGUAGGUCCUAGGACCUACCUAAGCACAUGGUGGAUACGCCCCUGUUACCCACACUAACCUCAUACACUUACAACACAAAUGAACUUGAACGGUCUAAGACCAAACCAAGAUAUAAUAUGAAAUGUGUAAGUAUAGUUUAAUAGAUGAAAGUGAGGUGUUGUUUGGGCUUGAAAAGUAGGGGUGAGCAUGGUGCGAUUUUUUGAGAAAACCGAACCGCAAACCGCAAGAUGCGGUUUCUAUAGGGUAAAACCGAUAGGUGUGGUUUUUGUUUCGGCGUGGUUUUACAUGCAUUUUCGGUGUCAUUCGAUGCGGUUUCGGUUUUUAACUGAAAAUAUGUGUUGGUGUGAUUUUUCAUACAUGUGUUGAUCUACCAAAGAAGUAAUAACCCCUAAAGAAGCUAGAGCAAGGCCUAAUUGAAAAUGAAGCCAAUUAUUAAUUGUGUCAUAAAGACCCUCAUGCCCACGUCUCAAUCGCCCUCUUGGAGGGAUAUGUGCAUCUAAAAGAUCUUUCAUACUGUGCCCAAUCCCAAAAUUAGUUCUAUACAUAUGCCCAACAAUAAGAAAAAGAAAUGCAAUAGCUAAAUAAUGAUGAGUCAUAUCAGCAUGUCCAAACCCGACUUUUCAGUUAACUUUCCUUUAUUUCCGGUACAGAUUCUCAUUUAAAUGUAUUUAACAUGCUUGUGAAAUAGUUAUAUGUUAUUCUUAUCAAAAUAUAGACUUCUUUAUGAUAUUACGAUUUUGAGAUUUGAAUUAUAUGUUUGAUGCAACAAGGGAUUUGGUUUUAUAAUCUCAAAUUCCAUUACUUAAUCAUUAUUGUUUAUACAGAUAGAGGCGGCUUUUGAUUCGAAUUGCAUUUUGCUUGUGAUAAGCAAAAGGAAAAUUGUUAAUGGUACGCACUUUGAUACAAAUGUCAAAUUUUAUAAAAAUAUAGCAAAACAUAAGGCAUGCACAGUGGCAAAAAGAACUGAAGAGGUCGAAGUUGAACAAAAUAUACUUUUAUUAAUAAGUAUUAUAAUAUAUUAAAUAUUGUCAGGUUUUUAUGGUGCUGUUUGGCAUUGUCCAAACCGCACCACACCGAAAAAUUACCAAUUAAGGUUGGAUUGGAAUGCAUAAUUAUCAAUUUAUCCUUAAUAAGUCAUAAAUCAACAAAAAUGGCCCAACAAUUUUCUUAAUCUUAAUUGUUGCCUUUGGAUUAGAAAUCAUCAACGAUCAAGAUUGGUUCUCACAAUUCUCUAAUCUCUACUUUUAUGUUGUUUUCAUUUGAACUCAACCCAAAAAUCUCACCAGUAAUCACCACACGAACAAAUCCCGUUCUUGAAAUGAUGAAACCUAUUUGUAUCCCGAAGAAUAAUUUCCCGCUCAACAAUCUUGGAAAUAAGCUUAGCAGCAAUAUGACAAUCCUCACAAACACGUAGAUUUUUAGUAAUCCGUAUAGGCGUAAAAGCUUUAGUAUUUAUAAUCACAAACACAAUAGCAAGCUUCUCACUAUGAACAGCAAGAUGAUUUCCUUUAUCUUCAUCUUCUAUAUCAUGAAGUGCAGAAUCCACUUCAGGAACAUACCCAAAAUCCCUCAUCUUCCCCACAAGUACUUCCAACUCUUGAUAAAUCUGUUUAGAUUGUGGAUGGGAUUGAUCUCCAGCAAGAAACGAAUGAACUUGAUUAUUAAGCUCAACAUUACUAACACCGGGCUCUUUUUUCACUCCUUUUGAUUUCAUUAUUGAACGAAUAUUUGUCACAUCUUUAAAUCUACCUGCUUUUGCGUAUAUAUUUGAUAAUAAAACAUAAUACCCUGCUUGUUCAGGGACCAAUUCAAAGAGAUGAUCUGCUGCUACAAGACCAAUUUCCAUGUUGGAAUGAACUUUACAAGCACUUAACAAAGCACCCCAGAUUCUAUCGUUUGGUUUUGUUUUCAUUUUCUUUAUAAAAUCAUAAGCUUCAUUGAUUCUUCCUGAUCUUCCUAGCAAAUCAACCAUGCACGCCAAGUGUUCGAGUCUUGGAAUGAUGUUAUACUCUUCGGUCAUCAAUUUGAAGAAAUGUUUUCCUUGGUUUAGUAAUCCGGCAUGGCUGCAGGCUGAUAGAACUGGAACGAAGGAAAUGGAAUCAGGGGCGAUUCCGGAAUUUUGCAUAUUUGAAAAGACUGUGAUAGCAGUUUCACCAUCUCCAGUCAUGCCAUAAGCAGAGACCAUGGAAGUCCAGGAGACGACAUCUCUUGUUGGCAUUUCAUCGAACACCUUGCGUGCUUCGUUUAAAGACCCACAUUUAGCAUACAUGUCAAUCAAGGCGUUCUCUACUGUUAGAUUAGGAAGAAGCCUUUUUGUUUUUACAUAUGAAUGAAUCUUUCUUCCUAGUAAUAAAGCUGAAAGAUCUCCACAAGCGGGUAGGAUGCUAGCAACUGUGAUUGAAUCCGGGUCGAUUCCGUAAUUCUCCAUUUGUUGAUAAAGAUUAACUGCAUCUUUAGGCAUCGAGUUGUUGACGUACACAGCUAUCAUGACAUUCCAAGAAAUUAAACUCUCUCGAGCGUGAUUCAUGAACAUUUCUUUCAUAAACAUCACGUUGGUAGAUGAAGUAGAAGUUGUUAAAGCAGGGGAAAGGCUGGCCAUGGUGCCUGCGUUGGGUUUUGAGGUAGAACAUUGCAUCAUUGUCUUACAAAUCUCCAAUGCAUCUUCAAACAUCCGGUUUUGGGCGUAGGCAGCAACCAUAGCAUUCCAGGAGACGAUAUCUCUACUAGGCAUUUCAUCAAACACCUGGCGUCCUUCCAGUAACCGGUUACAUUUUCCAUACAUUGUAAUCAAUCCAUUCCCUACAUAAAGAUUUGAAUGCAGACCCUUCUUGAGAACAGCAACAUGGGUUUGUAAUCCGACCCACAAAUUCUCAGACACGGAACAUGCUUUUAGAACUUGAGGAACUGUAAAAUGAUCAGGGUUAAUGUUGAACUUGAACAUGUUUCUGUACAUACGAAGUGCUUUUUCGUAGAAUUCAUUGUUUACGUAGCUUCUAAUCAUCACAUUGAAGAAGACUACAUCUUUUUGAGGAAAUUCAUCAAACAGUUGGCGGGUAACUGCGAUUUGGCGACAUUCAGAAUAAGCUUUCAUUAAUUUCAGAGCAAUAUGCGAUGCUGAGACGAGGUUUCCAUCAAUAAUUAACCUACAAUGUAUCUUUUUCAAUUGUUUGAUAUCUGGGCACUUGUCCAAGAUUUUGAUACACAAGUCUUCUGUGAUUAACAUGAUUGUUAAGGCGAGAUUUGAAUGAAUUUGAACUUAUAUUCCUUUCGCCAUGUUGUACCUGAGGGGCAAUCAAAUAGAAUGGACGAAGAUAACGAAGGUUUACUUGGUGGUGUUCACUUAAAAACAAGAAAUAUGAAGUUCUAAACGCUAUUUCUUGUUAAACAGAAAAUAUUUUGUCCAAUCUAAAAAUCCAAUUUUUGAGUAAGUUCAAGCUUAAGCUCAAAAAUAGUAAGCAAAACAUGUUUAAAAAAUAAAAGUUCGUUUGAAACUCUUUGGAUAGCUCGAGUAUAACAAUCAUCAUAAUUAUAGUCAAUAAAUCAGGCUCAAACAACCAAACUUGAUGUCCAGCCCUUGAUCAUCCAAUUGCCAACUGAAAUCAACUUAGUUUCCGGUUUUAGAAUCGCCCUAACAUUACAUAAGCACCAACUAGUUCCAAAAGUAGUUUUUAAUUCAAUGUCUCCCAUACCCGUGACUUCAAGGGUUUCCAUGUUACCCAACCUUACCAACUUAAGAUAAGUUCUUUACUUCAAUUACUAUAACAGAUCGAUGAGUCAUGUUCUAAUGACCUCUCGUCAUAUGAUGCAAUGCUUAGACUCGAGUCUUUUAAAGUCAAAUUCUAUAAUGAAAUAUACAUUCCUUCAAGUUUCUAAUGUGAUAUAAUCACAUUCUAGCAUGUAUCACUUCUAGCUACAAGCUUCUUACUUUAACAACAAUCACAAUACUUCUAUUGAUCGCUUUGAUUAUCUUUCAGUUCAAUCUUCUGGCUUAAGUCAGAUGCUACAUCGAUCUUGGUUCUCUGAACCACGUACAAUACUUAUCCUAGCUGUAAUCGAUUUGAUAUGACCACUAGGGUCGGAAUAACAAUCAUCUUCUUAGUCAUUACCGAAAUUAUGGUAAUGACACAUGAACAAAACAGAAUCAAUUACUAGCGUCUUGGUAACUCGUGACUUUCCCUGAUCCAAGUGCGAGUCGUGUGCUUCCAGUAGUAUAUGCCUCUACUACCUUUCACACCUACUCAUACUUGUCCCAAGUAUUGUCUUUCAGUUCUCCAAGUCACCAUAAAAGAAUUUCACAUAGUCAUUUAACACAUCGAAUAACAAAACUAAGGUUUAUAUUAUUUCUUGAAACGAUUACAUAGAUAUUCAAGUUCACCUUAUACCAUGCCUUUUAUAUUAGGCUACACCACAUGAUACUAUCUAUAUGGCUACUUUAUAUCUCGAUCUUCAGAUAUAUAUAGAUCCCUACUCCUAAUCCCUUGUAUCGUCACCUGCUUCAUCCAGGUUAGACUUCGAGAAUCUUCCUUUCUUAUCGAAUCUUGAGGAUCCCUCAAGCUUCUUCUUUUCUCAUGCCUUGUCUUAUUCCAGACCCUUUUUCCUAAAUUAGGUUUCCAUAUUCUUGGUUGCUCUAACGGUUGUCUUCAAAGUAGUUGCCAUUUUUACCAUUGCGCCAAAUUAUGCUGGCAAUCCGUUAGCAAAACUAUCUAUCUUGGAGAGUUCAGUAGCACCAAGUAGGGGAAUAACUUCAUCUGCUCGGUGAAUACGGUGACAUACUCAUCAACACUCAUCUUCCUUUUCUUCAAGUUCGAAACUCGUUGUUUAGGUCUAUCAGAUCUAUCUCUGAGCAGUAUUGCAUUUUCAACUGCUCCAUGAAUGCUUCCCACCUCAGGGCUUCUCCCCCAUGGCUUUGUAUCUGCCAAUAACUUCCACCAACUUAAAACUCUGGUCUUUAGUUGUCUGACUGUAAAGACGGUUUUCUGCUUGUUGCUGCAAUUGCAACUUUCAAAUGUCAUCUCUAUCUCGGAGAUCCAAUCCAUGAUCUCUACUGGCUUCGGGCUUCCAGAAAGACUUGGUGGUUUGGCACCUAAGAAGUUCUUAUACAUACGUUCAUCCUUAUCAAUCGCUUUUUUCGGGUCGUUCCUCCUUGCCACUCGGGGUUCAGCUUGACUCACUGUACGACUGUAAUUUCCCUCCUCCGACAAUUCUUCAUUCAGUUCGGGUUGCACGAUAGGCACAAUAGGUUCAUCCCUAUUAUCAAGAAACAUUUUUCUCAUCUCCUCCCUUUGUUCGGCCAUCAUAGCCCAAAUCAUUGCUUAGACUCUUGCCAUCGUGAUUGGCUCGGGUGCAGCUACUACCUCUGGUGCACAUUUAAUCACUCGUGGUUCAGGCUGUUAGUUUUCAUUAGCAUUUUCUAAUAUGUUGCGAGUUCUCACCAUUUCGAUCUAUACACUCUAGAGAUGUUCAGUGUACAGUGACGAGAAUUAAGAUAUGGAAAGCUUUAUUUACGACAGCCAUAUAAAUCUUCUUAUCACUCGUAAAAGUUAUAUACUAGUUCUAAUACCGUAAUUAAAUGUUUGGAAAUUUUGAGCAAAUGACGGUUCAUCAACAAUAGAGCGAAUCUCAUUUAGGAAUUCGUUGAUAGGUCGAUUUCCUUUAGGAUUUUUAGCAAGUUUGGAUUUUAAAGAGAUGAUUCUUGAGCAGGAGGUGCUGGCAUAGCUUGUGUUGAGAUGCUUUCAUGCUUCUUUUGUGGUAAAUACAGAGGUAAUGAUAGGUUGAAUGAAUUGCAUCUGAGCAUGAACCAAGAAUUGCAUCGAAUACUACAUGAUCUUGGCGAUAGCAAGUCGUGUAUUCAUGAUUAGGUUUGGAUUUGUCUUUGUCGAUAAUGAAUUUUGUGGUAGGAUCAGUCACCCAUGUGAUGUAAUCUUCCAGACCUAGUCCAAUAAAUGUGGACUGCACUUGUCGCCUCCAUACAUGGAAGUUGUUGGUGAGUAAUUUGGUAGGAAAGUGACUUGAGGCGGUGAUUUGUAUUUGGGAUGAUUGUGUCAUGGUGAUGUUGAUGAAAAGGAUUAGAGGAGAAAGGCAAGAUGAUCGAUUGACUCUUUAGAGUGUGUGUGCUCUGAUACGAUAUGAGAUUUGAGAAUCAAUGGGCUCGAAUGAAUAAUUUCAUUUACAAAGAUCGAUACAUAUAUAGAUGGUAACGAGAGUUAAAGAGCUAUACAUGGAAUUUACUAAGAAUAGAUUGCAAUUACAUACAAAUAGAAGAGAUUAUUGUAGAUUAGUCAUGAAGAUGUGUACGAUGUUAUAGUUAGAUUGCUUAUUUGCAAUCCAUGUUAGCUAAGUAUGUCAUGUUGAAUACAAAUUGUAUUAAAACAUUAAAGUUCCAACCAUUAUAUGUUGAAGAAGAAGCAAAUACGCCUUAGUCACACCCAUUCUAAAUGAUAUGGAUGUUAUGGUUGUCGUUUCUAUGCAACCAAAUCGUGAUUCCAAGUUGCAGUUGUCUUACCAAUAUAUCAUGUUAGGAAAAGAUGACAUAGCAUGAAAUAUUGUAUGUUACAACAAAAAGAUAUAUCUUAUAGAUGUCUUGCACAUGGGUUAUUCCUUUUUAAGCACUUAUAUAAAAAUAAUAUCACGUAUGUAUGAUAUCUAUUUUGAGAGAUUUUUAGCAAGCAACUCUUUGUCUAUUAUUGUUAUUGGAUAGAAAAAGUAUCAUCUUCGUUGGGAAGAUUUUACUAGGAUUAGAUUCAUAAUAGUUUGUCAAAGAUUUUACUAUUAUGUAUUUAUAAACCCAUGAAGUUUUCUAUUAAAUAAAUAAAUAAAUAACCAUUCACCAUUUAUAUCUUUUUGGAAUAGAGUUUGUUAAAUUCUAAUAUAAAUAAAAAGAGUAUUUAUUUAGAUUCACACAUUACAAAAUUACAAACUCCAAGCAUAAAUCCGAAACUUAUUUUUAAACUUCUUCAUUUAUAUUACAAGUUUUAUUCUUUUUUCCCAACCCACUUGGGGUUUCGAAACCCUAAAAAAGUUCUAUCCAUGGAAGUUCAUAUUUAUUUCUUAUCUUAAUGAAUUUAAGGUCUAAAUCAAUAAAUGGCAAUGUAGAAUUAACCGCAUAUAUUAAGUUAUUUUUGGAAGCUUUCCAACACAACACAGAAAGGAAAUGAUGAGAAUUUAUGGUACCAAAUAACAAAAUAAUCCCGGUUCCUAUAAAAAUUUAUUAAAGCUCUACUCAUGAUUUCAUAAUCUCCUCUAAUAUGAGGGUUACGUUAUUGUAAUAAUAACUAUGAUAAUGUAAAAGCCAUAACAUAAAUCGUCUUAAUUUAAGAAAUAAUAUAAAUCCCAAGAUAUUGUUUUUAAAAUAAAAAGGAAAAAAGUGGGAGUCCAUUAGAAGGAGCCAAGCUGAUUAUUUGAGCCAAGAGAGCACCGAUUUGUUAUCCUUCCACUGUUCGAAGCGAGAGGUUAUCGCAGCUCUGUGAAGCCAGCCUAACGCAUUGCCCUCUGCUCUAGGAACCAAGAAGCCCAAGCCUUCGCUCAAGCCACUUGAUCCAACUCCGAACUUGGAACGGGCAAACCAGAUUUUGCAACAGCUUUGACCCAACCAAACAAGGCUCGAUCUCAGUCCAUCCCACUUUAGAGCCCUCACUUGAGUCACAAGCUCGC